Molecule: long non-coding RNA, 45640 nt
Filed under: Xyrichtys novacula (pearly razorfish)
Lineage: Eukaryota; Metazoa; Chordata; Actinopteri; Labriformes; Labridae
Source: RNAcentral
CUGAAAACAAAGUUUACCGGCGAAUUUCGCCGCGGAAAAUGACGAGAAUGGAUUACUUUUGUCUUUUUUCUGUUCCUGUGGAAACUUUGCCUGCCAUCGUGAAACUGGAGGGGUAUAUCUACAUCGUAGUGAGGUAAGACUGUUCUCAUGUUAACGAGGAGGAUGUUCUGAUUUGUUUUCAUGUAUGAUAGUGGGGUGAAGUUACCUGACGGCUUCUUCAGUUUCCUCUUUUCUACCGGAGUCUCUCAUGUCCGUAGCGCCUUUAAAACGUGUUUAAAAAAGUGUUUAAAAAAAAAUCUGUCAUCUCGUCCUUGUGAAGUUAGAGGCUGGAGAUGAGAGGGAGAGGCUCAUGUCACGGUCUUACCCGCGCAUGUGCGGACACCGGGUCCGAGUGGUUUUAAUCUUUUAGCUAAAUAUUACUAUCAACAAAUGUAGUAAUGAUAGCAGGUUUCUACAAAACAUUGUGUAAGCCUUGAUGAGUUUAGACAACCAGGGAAUCACGAGCAGAACGAUACCAACCUUGGUAAAAAGGUGGUACAAUUAGUUAUAUACAUACUCAUUUAGAAUCUGCUGAUUUCUUAUUACCACUGCAGUCAAAGUGAAGUCAGUGUUGUAUGUUUACGGUUGUAAAGUGGGGUCUAUUGUGAUAUUUUUUAUUAGGAGGCCAAAAAUCCCUGGCAGUGCCCCAGUGGGUGACUUAGUAUAGUCACACAGUACAAUGGGAUAAUGUCAUGGGGUGAUAUAUGGAUCAGACUACAGCACAAACUGUAUCCAGGGGAACAAGAUUUGAGUCCUGUGAGAGGAAAGAGACCAAGUCAAGGCUGGAUUGUCUUAAGCUACAUGAAUUACAUCCCUAUCUAAGAAAUUCUCGCUUAUACACUUAAUCAAAAUUGAUAGAUGUAUUACAUAAAACAUGACUAAGCAGUCCUGUUAAUGCCUGAGACUCUCUGUAAAGUAAAAAAAAACACCUCAGGUAGGUUAAGAGCUUCUCAGUGGUCUCCCAGGUGAGCACAAGGGCAGAAAUUUGUGCUACCAGCCAACAAUGAUCUUUGACGGACUGACAGGAAGUUUUCUUUGUGUUCUUGACAAAACGACAAACAAAUAGCAUCAUUUGCUUGAUACAGGACAAAAAGGAAAGUGUGUGGAUCUGAACCUGAAUCUGUCAAUUUUACAGACUAGAUAAUCCUUUAUGGUUUGUCUUCACCACUAUCAUUAAAUAUGCUGAAUCUCUGAUAAUGAUGUAAUCAUGAAGACUGAGUAGUGUUCAUGAACUUCAUCUUCUAAAGCCGCGUUCAGACCAGCCGCGACCUGACGCGACUUGGCGACGGCUCCCAAUGCAAAGUCUAUGGCCAGCCGCGACCUGACGCGACUUGGCGACCGCCGGCUUCCUGCGACGCGACCAUGCGCGACCGGGCGACCGGUCGCCAAGGCGCGUCCCCGAGGUCGCGUCGCCGAGGUCGCAGGACGCCAAGUCGCGUCGCUCCCAAAGUUCAAAUAUUUGAACUUUGGGAGCGACUUCGUGCCGCGACAGCCAAUCAGGGCUCUGCUGACGUCAACAAACCGGCGAAACAAGGAAGAGGAGAAGAAGAAUCACAAUGGAGGAGCAGUUAAUCACAUCCGUUAGCUACCACCCAGCUAACUGCCCCUGCUUGCUAGGCUACAUGUUUCAACGUAUGUGUGUGUGUGUGUCUUUGCAGUGGAUGUGUGCCGCAAGCGGUGGAAGGGGCUUAGAGACGUUUAUAUGAGGGACAGACAGAUAGACAGGCGCUCCGAAGCUGAGAUGGAGCGCCUGUAUUUCGUGUCCAGGCGGGAGAUGCUGCUUCCCACCUGGGCGAGGAGGUCCUCGAACUGCGCCGUCGACACACGGAAAUACCGCUGGAUGCGGCCGUCGUCCAGGCGGAGUUCCUGGAGCAAGCGGUGAAAUUCACCCAGCUCCGUCCUCCUCCGGAUGGUUUCAUGCACCCAUAAACGCCGGCGGCGUCUACUGCGGAUGCACAGAUAGCCUAUGCGGCAGCACUGAUGAACUGAAAACUGAGCUAGUGACAUGGAUGACGUCACCGGCGACCAGCCGCGACCUGCGACUGCAACUUUGGACCCGGUGUGAACACACCAGAGCACCACGCGACGCGACCUGACCGACCAACGCGACGCGACGCGACCUGGUCGCGUUUGGUCUGAACGCAUCUUCUAAGGCUUUCUUCUUUACACAGCAUUCCUCACUCCUCCUCCAUCUCCUACAAUAACAUGCAAAACGACUCCACUCCUUCCUCAUGGUGCUGACAAGGUUGUUUAUUUAAUGGCUGAUUUAUUUAUUUCUUUAUUCCUGAUAAUCCACUUUGGAAUCAAAACACAAUUAUAAUGAAUCAAGCACUGUUCUCCUUCCCGUGGCUAGAUGACAACACUCGAGUUGUUAAGAGAGGAUGUUGAAAGGCGCGCACAAAUGCGAGGCUGAUAAACUCCAAGAGUCAUCCAGUAUUAUGAAUUACUUAGUGCUGAAAUGUCAGAAAGAGAUUAGACUGUGAGAGCCACUUCUUUCGCGGCUUAUUGUGAAGAACCAUCCUCUGCUGUCGAUCUAUCUUUUGUUGAGGACUUAUGGACUUUCAAAUCUUAAAGUAUUACUUGAAUGCCUUUGCUUUUCUGUGGGUUUUAAUGCUGACUAUAAUGAGUACACACACAGCAGGUUGUACUAAGAAUGCCAGUGGUAACAAAGGUUUUUGCCUCAGGGGAACGGAUCCAGUCAACUUGGCAAAGCAGGGGCUCCAAGUACGUGCACAGUCCUUGCUGCGUUGGUGGUAGGAUUGAGUCCUGAUUCUGGCAUGGUUUGGUGCAUGUCAAUCCUCCCUAAGGGUGUUUUCACACCUGAAAGUCCAGACCAAGGUCCAAACCAAGGUCUUGGUGUCAACUUUAUUGACAUCGACAGGAAAGGAAAAGAAAGUAUGCAAUCCUGCAAGUCAUUGCAACACUGGCUCGGGAGAAAAGUAUGUGUUGAAAAGAUUAACUGUCAAUAGUGAGGUAUAACCUUACCUACAGUUUUAUAAAAUUUCCUGUUAUCGGACAAUCUCCAUUCCCUAUCUUUGGUACGAAGGUCUGAACCUUUCAAAAUAAUGCUUUCACACUGGGCAUGAACCAGACUGUGGUUCAGUUUGGUCAGUAGCAAGAUCACCUCUUUUGGUCCAGACCAAGGUUCUGGGGAGGUUUCGCACUUGUCAUUUGGGUUCGGACUAAACAGAAAAGUCUGAAAGUCCGGACCGUACAACAUAGGUGUGAAAGCCCCCUAAGUCUCUCAAGCUGUCCUAUUAAAAAAAAAGAGAUUGCUCCCCAAAUAAUCCCUGAAUAAAGACUACAAAAGUAAGUUUAUCUUUAUGAAAUGAUUGAUGAGCUGUCCAUGACGAAUUUUCUUAUUUUGUAACGCAGCAUUCCCUUUAAAGUCUGCAGGUGCUCUGUCACAGUUUUGCUACAUGGGUAUAAAUGCCAAUUCUGUUCUUUGAGGCCAAGAUUUGAUUCAUUUGGAGAAAUUUUGCCAGUGGUGGAAUUUUUUUGGUUUGUCCUCCAAUAUCCAAAUGCUGUGACCUACCUGAGAUAUGUACAAGGUUAUGGUUUCAUUGUGGUACUUGUGUCCUUGUUUGGUGCAGAUUUCUGCUCUCAUUUGUACUGAUUAACGGAUAAAAAAAAUAUAUAUUUCUGGAUGAAAGACUUAUUCACCUUUGUUUUGAGAGGAAUAGUGGCAAACACCGAGACCUUGGAGGAAAAAAAGGUAAUUAGUAAGCUGCUCACCGUUCUGUUUCUGUUCACUUUAUCAUCAAAGGAUUGUGAAGAAAAAACAAAAAAAAAAACAAAGAAAGCCUGCUGCAAUGGUAGUAGGAAUACAAGAUUUUCAGGUCAUUGUUAUAUUUGAUUUAAUGUGCCUUGCUUUGUCUACUAAAGAAAUCCUCAUUUGGAAAGAAGUAUUUUAAUCUUUCAUUAUUGCUUCUCUUUGAAACUUUUAUAACAACCGUCCAAUAUAAUCCAUGUUCCUGUGCUCUCUGCCUCCCAGUCUGGACAGCAGUCUGUUGCAGUUUCACAAUAAAGCUCAGACUGUUGGACUUAAAGAAUGGCUUUCUAAAUUGGCUCUGGAUUGGCACUAGUUUCGCAUACAGGAUUUCCUUUGUCACCACUGAUCCCCUUCAGGUGACACGACGCUACACCUUUAAGGGUCUGAGAGGUUUAGCUUUCAGGCCUUUCACUCUCAAUGUACCUGCUUUUGCUUUCACUAACUUACUAUAAAUUUUCAUUGUUAUGCUGACAACAUGGUUAUGUGUGCCUAUAAAAGCUCCAUUCGGCUCACGUCCCUGAGAAACUGCACCCUAGAUAAAAAAGUAAUAGAUGCUGUUGAGUUUUCUGCAGCUACAUGAGACCGCAUCAGGAGGAGCUCUCCAUUUAAUUGAUUCACUGUGAGUUUCUGCCUGCCAAAGUACCGCCAGUAACAAUUAAUGCAGGUGUAAAUUUUGACAGCAUUUUGAGCUUUGAUGUUUCAAUGUUUCGGGUCUUUCCCUGCUGUUUCUUUUUAAGUGUGGAAUAUUUCUUCAAUUAUUUUUCCAUCCAAAAUCAUCUGGAAAAAGGUCAUUGAGGCUUUGAUAUCCCCUCUCACAGAUGACUACAGCUCCUAUUUCUGUCUCAGUCAGAAAUCAUGCAGAAAGCAGAAGGAGUAAAACAUCAUGCACUUUAAUACAUUUCAAAGGUUUGAACAAAUUUUUUUCCAAGACAUUCUAAAGCUGCAAGUUCAUAGACAGAAAGGGAGUUUGAUAGAUAGGCAGGAUGAGAGGAAAAUACGUGAUUGAAUAACUUCAAAAACAUCAUGCAUCCUAAACUAAGACAAGCUACAUACAUCCUUGAGUAGGAAUGGGAAUCGAGAACCAUUUCCUGUUGAGAACCGGUUCUAAAUGGUUCAAUUCAUCAACAUCAUUUACAUUUUAUCUUAAAGAUUCCUUCCUCCGGGUGUCUUAAACAACAGUCCUGCGAGAGCCAGUCUACAUGAACGAGAACAGAGACUUGAAAAUUAGGCAGAAACGAUCUAAUGCGUGUCUUCAUUUUACUAAAAUGGAUGACAACAGUGCAACGUUUGUUGAGCAGUGAUAACAUGCAAAGGUGGAAACAAAAGCAACAUGCUUAAACAUUUGUCAACAGGGCAUGGCAUCAAAUAUAAGGAGUCACACCAGUCAUCAGCCGCUGCUGCUGGCGCUGCGAGAGAGUCUGUUCUGUUGGCGUGCAUCGCAGCAGUUGUUUGUUGCAGCUCUAAGUAAAAGUUAAACGUUCUGAAGUUAUGCUCCGUCUGUUCCCCUGUUUUCUCCUGCCAUGUCAGCUGGACUCGUUGGUUACCAGCCUUAAACGAGCCAAAGUGGCUGUUCCAUAUCUCGGUUAGGGACAAGGUAGCUAAAAAGGUAACAGCACGUAUGUCCUGUGUUAACAUAAGCACAAUGAAUGCCAGACUUUACAAUGUAUUAUGUUUUUGACUUAAAAGUAAAUGCUGUACAAAUAGUUUGUCAUUUGAUUAUUUUGAGACUCUCACUGAAGGUGUCGUACAUAUUUUUCUGUUAUUUUUCUGUUUGAGUUAACAGUGAAAACUUACAGUCUACUUUUUUUCAAAUCAAAGAAAGGCAUUGAUAAGGGAAUUGUUGCAUCGAUAAGCAGAAUCAAUAAUGGCAUUGAUAUCGAUAUAAUCUUAUCAAUUCCAAUCCCUACAUGUGAGUCUUCUGAGCCUCUUAAUGAGUCUUCAGGAGUUCCACCCAGGCUGCAGAAUAGAGUGUUUUGUCUUCCCUGGUUCUGGAGAAGCUUUGUCGAGUCUGAGAAAAUAACUCCUGGCAAUUUCACCAGAGCAACCCUUCGGCUUCGUCUGGAAAACUUCAAAGCCUGGGGGCAUGAAGUUCGAAAAGACAUGGGUAUCAACAGGCACAGGGGGAAUGAAGUAAACCUUUUGAGAUGCUAUAAAAUCUUUCUUGAGCUUAACCUUUGCUUUACUCUGCUGCUUCGAUUUCAGCCGUUUAAAAAAGUAUUUGUAUAAUAGAAAUACUACAACCACUGUGAACUCAUCACUGAGUCUUUUUGUGAAGCAGAUAUGUGAUGGAGUCUUGAGUUGCUGCAUUGUGAGAUUGGAACCCAUAAGUCACUUAUGACGGGUGAUAUGGCUCUUUCCAUAAUGAGUUCAUGUUGAGUUCAUGUUUCGCUGUAUUUUCCCACUUAGGCGAUGACAGCAACAAAACAAUUUUAUGAUGAAUAAUGAAACCCACUUCACUGCAAAACAAAACUUUACAAGCACACAAAGUAGAGCAGGGAGGCAGCUGUUUUUUAAUGGUUCUCCCACUCCUCUUUAUGUACACAAAAAGAAUCCAAAAUACUGGUUGUCAACUAGUUGCUCUUUCAUUGUAACUUAAAACCUUAUUUUUUCUCACUACAGACAUUAUUCAAGAAGAUGCAUAUCGUUCACUUCUGACAGGUGUCCUCUGGGCCUUUAAUGUCAAAGAGAAAUAAUGUGAUUAGUGCGAAGGGUGAUAAGUUCCCCACAGGCACCCUUCUUACCUUUGCUAUAGCUGUUGAUUUCUCUAUAAUUCUACAAUUCUUCAGAACUUCAUGGGUAGUGUUUGAUUUGGCAGUUGUCAGAAUACACACCUGGGGUCUCAUUUAAAAAAAAAAAAAAAAAAAAAAGGUGAAGCGAAUCUAUAAUGAAAGUGUGUGCAGAGCAAAAAACAACUAAAAACAUGCAAAAAGAUAAUCAAAAAUCAGGUUAAUAACCCCCCUCCGCACAUUUGCACCUAAAUAAAUCACAUUUCCUUUGAAAACAUGCAUUAUGUGUCUAAAUAUUUUUCUUUUUCCAUGUGUUGGUACACUGUGACUUAUAUGUAGCUAGGUAACAUUAGCUCCGUUUACGUCUCUGCUAUCUUCUUGUUGAUUUGAGCUUUUUUGGUGAAUAUGCAAUAUUGUAAGUCUAGCUAUCUCUUGUGACUAUGUUCUUGCAGUCUACAGAAAAAGACUUCUGUGCUGCUUCGUGCAGCCAACAACAGAGCAACUGCCGUGUCUUGCUCGUACCUUUGUUUGGGAGGGAGAAAAAUAGUGUCUGAGUGAAAAUUUUUGGCGGCAGAACAAACAUCUUGGGCAGGUUCACCAACCCGGAGGACAGGAGUUAUCGCCAUCCAUGACGUCAUGGAAGGCGAUAGUUUCAAUCUGCCCGUUUGAGAUGACAUUUUCUGAAAGGUGGAGCAAGCAAGAGAGGGAGAGGGUAGACUUUUCUCAAAUUGGGGGAGGGUUGUAGACAGGCUGGGGAUGCAUACUAUUGUUGAAAAAAACAUUUUCAAGUGAAUUUUGCAUAAUAUGGGACCUUUAAUGCUUACAGUUGUGGUGGCCCAUCAAAGUUUCUUUCAGUGAGUUAUGGCAAACAUCUGACACAAAAGUUUUGAACUGGUUUCUGCUUGUGAAUGAAGUGGAGGUCAGACAGCACAUUUUGAUUUUUUUCACAGGGUCACAAUGACAAUAAAUUAUGUGACUGCCGUUUAUAGCCCUUAGCUGUGCAUCCAUCAUUCAUAGGCACAGGUGUCACUGCAGUAUUAAUGUUUACAGGACUCAGACUGAUUUUUUCACAUUAAGCCAGAGUGCUCGCCUCAAUCACCAACACUCCCUGUAUUUAAUACUAUUUGACAGAGAUGUGUGUAUUAUAUCAUGGCCAUCACAUGCUGUAAAUUAGUCAGGAAUUCCAUUUCUAGGUGAUAAUUAUGAGUAAUUGUCACUAAUAGCUUGUUUUUAGUUAUUUGUCUAACACUGUUUUUUUGACUGUGAGCAUAUGUGAUGAUGUGCGAGAGCUGCCAGUGGAUCAGCUUACACGCUUUGCUAAAUAACAGUGGAUACCUGCAAAUGAUGCAUUUAAGUGACAAAAAGUUUAAGCAGCCUUUAUCUCUGAGCGCACUGAGAUUAAAUCUUCAUUACUGAUGAAAAUUAAAUCAAAUGAAAGCGCAGUUGCUUUGAGCAUAUUGACACAACCCUGGAUUUUGAAGUUACAAUAUGAUCCAGUUCUGUGCAUCUAUAAAGUUUGUUUUUACAUUCGUUUUUUAAUUAACUACUUUACAGCACAACAUUUACACUUGGGUCCCUUGCACAUGAGAUAGGAACUAAGCCUCGAAUUAAAGUCCUUAGCCAACGGAUUUUUUAAAUAAUUUUUUUUACUAUUGAUAGUGUUAUUGUGGUCAUAGUUGUGAUUAUUAAGUUUUUAUCCAAAAUCCCGUUACCUGUGUCAUUUUCAAGGGCUUUUCUUCUGCAGAGUUUCAGUAGCUCAAUAGCAAUUCUCCUCUGAGACAAAGGUGGAGACAGCGCUGCUCUGCUCACUCCUCUUCGUGCUUCUAGCCUAACAUUGCCGAUGUAGUAGAAGUAGCAGGUAACAUAGUCAAUCCCAUGUCAAUAUCAUGAUCAGCUUUCUUAUGAGCAUUUCAAUCUGCUCAUGCACACGCUUGUUCCGUGAUUGUCCUCUCUACUUCUUGGAGUCUGGCCUGCAGAGCAGAACAACGGGGGUGGAGUUUGGAGUUGUGACAUAGGAAAUCUCACUGUGUCUGAACCUUCCAUUUGGGUCUGUGAGAGGUUCACAGUGAUUUGACUGUAGAAAUACUCAGAAACUCAAUCCCGCACUUACUUUUCGAAUGAUAUGUCCUCUAGCGUCAGAAAUAUGCCAUAUGAACAUGUAGACAACAAGAGAAGCGUGAUUUUCAUCAGAGUGGGUCUUGAAAGACGGACCUCUCUUUUGCCUUGUUUUAAAAUUAACGUACUGUGAGGCACUUAGACUGUUCUUGAAGCUAAAUACCAUGGCUUGACAGAGCAGCAGUAAAGCUGCAAAGUGUACCACAGGGUAUUUUUUAUGACCAAUUGAGGAAUGUGUUUUUAGAGAGCUGCCAAACCCAUACCAGAAGAGUCCAGGAAAGGAUGCAGAGAUUUGGCACUUUUUGCAUACUACAGCUGGCAUCACCUGAAGCUGAUCUCAUAAUGAGGCUCCACUUGUCUGUUUUCAUUUGUGCUACUUGGUAAACAAGGUCUUCAGAAUGUGGCUACCAUAAUGUCACCCAGAAUAACAGCUGUAGGUUGUAUACUGAAGGUGUCUGGUUACAAAAAUCCUGUUUUCAAAAUACAUGAUAUCUAAACAACUCAAAGUCAGAGCAAAUAGAGCUGAGGCACUGGUGAAAAAAAAGUACCUAAUGUUAAAAUAAAAAGUACAUUAUAUAGACUUCACAUACAUUCCUGCAGCUGUGCUAAACCAUCUAUGCUGUAACCAACUUGAUGUGGCCUCUUGAAGCCCCUCAUUGAAUAUAUGAUGAUUGACAUCCUGGAAGUGACACUUUAAUGCUGCUUGAGAAACACAUUGUAUCGCGCCUCUCAUUAUUAUCUUUCCACUCCACUGCUCUCUGACUGAUGUGUGAAAUAGCUCUCAUCAUAUUUAUCUUGCACAAAAAAUUGUACAGGGAAAGCACUUUUGUUAAAGUAGUUUUUUUCUUCUUCUCUUGAACUUGGAUCUGACAAAACAAGGAUUAACUUAACUUACUCGGUACACAGGAAGCUUCACUUUCUUUGUUCAUUCUUUGAUGUCAUCAUUCCUCAGUGUUGCACAGGAUGUAUCGCCUCGACAAAAUAACCUGUUGGCUGCUGCCUGUCAGAGAUAGAUUUGCUUUCGUGACAUGGUGUCUAUCAAGACCCUCUCAGUGAUGCGGUGAUUCACAUUCGGAAAGUGACACGUACGUAAAUGCUACAUAAUGAGCGCUUCCAUUUCCUGUCCUGUUAUUACACACCCCUCCACUCCACCCUGUAGCUGAUGUCAGAAAUGGCCGUCAUCAUCAUCAUCAUCAUCAUCAUCAUCAGCCUGAACUUGCCUACUGUUCCUGCUGGAAGCACCUGUGCAGAUAAAUAACAUGGUACUGUAAAAGGAGACACCUGUCUUCACCUCCCACUUAUUAUAGCACUUCAGCAGAGGAUUUCUGAACCCUCAUUUUACAGCUGUUUUGAAUACCUGAUUUUGAUUGGUCAAUAUUAAGUAACAGUCUGUCACUUCUAUUGCUAUGGAUUUUUAUUGAUUGAUUGAUUGAUUGAUUAUAGACGCUGUCAGACUGAUUGUAAUCACAUCAGCCCAAUAAAUAGUUUUGGUUGGUCUGACAGUUUGUGAGAUUAAAAAAAAUUAAAUGGAAAAGGACACGUGCAGGAGGGGUGAGACACUAGAAGUACUUCAGUAGGACUUUAGUGCGCUAAUUUAUGUGAAAUGUAAAACGGUUCUUAUAACUGUCUCUGUUCUGCUGCUGCACAUAUUAUGACUGUGGUCCUAAUAUAAGGAUUUUUUGGUGUGUUAAAAGUAAUUCAGCAGUGCUGGUGUUUAGAUGGGUUUGUGUAUAUAUGUCUCUCUCUUUCUCUCUCUGCUUAGGUAUGCCAAAACCCUGUUAGCUGAUUGGACGAUGGUCUCCUGCUCAGCAAGUGAUAGGCUUUAUGCAGUAAGUUUUGCCCUAUAUUAGCUGAGAGAUUAGAUUAGUUUGGUUUAGACAGAAUUUAAUUGAUCCUUUUGGGAGGGUUCCCUUAAAGAAAUUAAAAUCCCAGCAGCGUCAGUGUGUACAGAAAAAAUUAAAUACACAGUUUUUCGAUGGAUACAUGUGCAGUGUAGAGCUGUGAGCACGGAGCGCAAAGCGUCCUUUACGCACAGAUGGUUCCGAUUUUAAUGCCAUUAUUGGAGUUUAUGUUGUGAUCUGUGAACACAACCCACCUUUGUCGCGUGAGGUUCAAACAAUGCAACUUUAUAUGACUUACGCCGAGCCACGCCACCGGCGAGGAACAAAAAUAGAGCCCUAAAUGUCUAUAAUUUCUAAGUGUAGGAUCAUAGAGUAAUUCUGAUUCUGAUUAAAGGUACAAUAGUAAGAUGGAAUGAGAUGAGAUAAGAUGAGAUGAGAUGAACUAUCUUUAUCUCCUGAGGGGAAGUUUGAUUGUCUUGGUCAAAAAAUUGCAAUAUGAUAAUUGCAAGUCUUUUAGAUCAAUGUAAACUCACUUGAAUAUGAAAACCUUUUCUUUUUUGGGAAAAUUAGCCUUUCUUACCCUUUCAAGUGGUCAGUCAUGCACUGCAAGUAUUUCUAAAGUAUUAAGGGAUGGGCAAAGUAGUCAUGGUUCUUGUAUUUUGUGACUGGUCUUCUGAAAAGCUCCAGUUGGAGGGUAAAGGAGACAAAAUAUACAGAGAAGAAGAUGAGAAAAAAGAGUUGGUUGCUGUUACGUGCAAAAUAUUUGUACUGAUUCCAGUUUUUGACAGAAAGAGGGACAAAAGGAGGAUCACUUCAUCCUACAUUGCAUGAGCUUCUCUCCGAGUGUUUUCGACCUAGACUGUGAUUGCUCGAUAUCACCAAUUCUGAGAACGUUGACUUUUCUUUGAUGCAUGCUGAAUUUUCCCCCAAAUAUAAAAAUCCUUACUCUCCUUUAACAGCUGUAGUCUAAUUUGGUAAUUUGAACACUAGAGGUAAAUUUGGAGUGGAAAAAUAUAGUUUUGAAAACCAAUAUGGUGAUUGCUACAUGUUUUGGCUUCUAUGUUGGCAUUAUCCGGAGCUGUUGUCUUGGGUGGAGUCUAUCUUUCUCCUCUUCACAGAGAUUGGGCGGCUCCCUCCUCCCACCUGCACCUUCACACCUGCACCAAAUUACUAUGAACACCACCUGCAUUUAAGCCCCGCUGUGAAGCUUCUCCAUCACCAGAUUAUUCCCACAUCUGUUGUGGUAUCUUGGCCAGUUCUCUAGUGUUCUCUUGUGAGUUUGCAGUUGUUUUAACAUUCCAGCUUUGUGUGUUUUAUCAGUGACAAACUUUGCUGUCCUCCAUCUCUUCCUGUGCCUCCACAAGCCCCUACUGCUACUGCCUAAUCUCUAUCAUGCUGCCACACUCUCUCCCUGGAUUCAGUUACCAGCCUCCUCCUCAAGUCCUCACAUCUCCAGCCUUCACCUCAUGCCUUGAACCCUGGAUCCCUCCCCUCCACCCUUUUCCCUUCAAUUAAUCAAUUAACCUAAUUGCUUUGUCUGCCUCUGGUUAUGCUUUUGGGUCCAAACUUAAACACCUGCUUUUCAAAACGUAACAACCAACCACUUACUGAUUGACAGUCAGUGUGAAAACAAUCAAGAAUCAGACUACAUUAACACGUGCCCGGCUAUUUUCAUAAACGGACAUUUUACGUCUCCGUUUACAAAAAAAAAAAACGCAUGCACACACCAAUACAUUUUCAGAAAAGUCUUCGUUUACACUAACCCAUGUAUACAUGCUGUCAAGAGCAUGCCAAACCUGUAGGUGGCAGUGUAGCGAGACGCUCAAGUCCACGUUAGCCUAUCAGAAUCCCGCAUAGCAGCAACAACAACAUUGUCACUUCCUUCUUUCCAGCGCACAAUCUGCCGUCCACUACCCAAAUGCAAAUGUGCAAACUGAGUUUCCCAAAUUCUCCACUUUGGCCGUUGUUUUUAAAAAAAGGAAAGUUUUCAGGGGCAAAUUCUCUGUUUGCGUCUAAAUGAAGGGUGCAAACGAUGGUUAAUGUCUUUGUUUUUAACAAUAACUGCGUACGUAUAAACAGAGCCUAAAUAUACAGAAUUUCCUCUGCCUAAAUGUGUUAAUGUAGUAAAAUCAUGUGUGCAUUCAUUAAGGUCAGCUGUUGUCUGAGAAACACUUUGGGCCAUUAGUCAAAGUAGAGACGAAGCCUUUAGGUCUGGUAAAUAUAAAAUAACAUUAAAACUGUUGUUGUUUAAAAAAGACUGUGACAGUCUCACCAUGAAUAUCAAAGCUGCUCAUGAGAAGUUUCAUUCCAUUAAAUUUAAUAGUCAUAGAUUUGGAAUCUAUCAAUCUCUUUAUGGUUCUGACUGAAUUAGUAAAGCGUUUGGCCCAACUUGUUUUUUUUUUUUCUCUCCGACAAAUGCAGUCAGGAGGCACUUUGGGUGAAUAAUAGGUGCAAAAAGCAUGAGCCCUCAUCACUGAAGGCUUAGUUUUACUCACUUAAUUUACAUCUAGUCAGGUCUUAUGGAACAUUUUCUUCCUUUCCCAGCUGUUUGCCUCAUCCCUGCCCCACUGGCCAAAUUCUACAAAUCAGCAAUGCACCAGAGCAUUUGUGCUCCUGUAUGGCAGCUAACAAGCUAACACAGAAAACCUUAAACAGAGUCAGGGAGCAAAGUCUUCCCUCCCCAUCUGUUGCCUUUAAGGGCCGCCUCUUGCUGAAACAGACAGUUGAGUCUCUCUCCUUUCCUUAUUUAGGAUGGAUGGAUGACUCAUAGACACGAUUGUACACCAUUGCCACAGCAUCAGGAAAGAUAGUGGACAGUGGACUCCCCUCUUUCUACUCCUGGAUUAGUGCCAUUGAGCAUCUUUUAAUUAAAAAAAAAAAAAAAAAAACUUUUACAGGACCUCAAACAGGUUCAGUGUGUUGGUUAAAUGGGAUUUGGGCAUUAUGUUUUGUGGCAGCCUGUCUGCUUUUCAAAGUCUGCAUGGAUACACUAGGUUUAUUUCUGUUUAGGCUUCUGUCUCUUACAAGCCACUGGCCUUUUUAUCUGCUCCACCGUCAGCUCGCUAUAAUAAUGCGAUGAAACAAGUACGACAGGCACAUUUCACAAAAUGAGUGUCUGCAACUGAAACAGCUGCAGCGCAUUCUCCCACAUGAUUUACUGUUAAAUUGUCUCUGUGCAGUCGGGAGGCAUGUCCAUGAACUCUAAAUGUGAAGAGGUUACAGUUCACUUCGGAGCUAAGAUUUGUAGUAUUAGGAGAAAUUCAAGAUAAGACAAGAAGAACUUCAUUUAUUCAAGAGGGGAAAUUCAAUAAUUCAAGUCAAUGUCAUAAUUCUUAAUAUACCAUCUCGAAUGUAUUUACAAACCAAAGUAUAACAGCGGGAUGUGCCCUUGUUAAAACAGUCUAAAGGCAGUUCAGUGUCAGAUAGCUUCAUUCCUGUGUAACUGACCUCUCUGGUGCUAUUUGAGUAGUUUUAAGUAUAAAUCCUUGACCGAUAUUUGACUUUUCUUUUUCAUUAUGAAUCAAUGCCUAAACAACCUUUAAACUCUCAGAUGAUGUUUGUGUUCCUCAGGGUUCCAUCUUAGGUCCUCUGCAUUUUGAAAUUGGCAUGAGGUAUCUUCCAAAUCUAUGCUAUUGACACAUGACACUGGGAGAGAAAAGAUACAUUCAUACACACUGUUAAUGUUGAAUUGUUUUUUAUUUUUAUUUAUUUUAUGUUAUUUUAUUUAUUUAUUUUUUACCAGUUUGAAGUUUUCUGUUAACUUAGUAUUGAGUAUAAGGUCAUAUUAUUGUAUUUUAAAGUUCUUAAUGGUUCUGACUCUAAUUGUGUUAUCUGUUUUUAUCACGCCAAUUUGGCCUGGGUGUGAGGUUCAUUUGUUUAUCGCGCUAUUGAUUAUAUUCUACCUUUCAGUCUGACCUUAGAUUGAGUUUGAAUUAUUAAUUAUUUUAAUUUCUUAGUUUGUGACUGCAGUGAUGGAGGUACAGAGGUACAGAGAUGUACUGUGUUAUUCAGCCAGUACCCUGAAGGACAUGCAUUUACUGUAACACUGUACUAAUAUCUUUUAAAGGAUAUAGUUAGUCUAAGCAUCAGUACAACAUUAAACUCAAUGCCAAAAUUAAGUAUGACUUUGUGAUUUUCCAAAUUGCAGUCAAAUAAAAGGUAAUCCAGAAAGUUUCCACUGUUUGAUAGUCAUAUGGAAAAAAACAGCGUCCUGAUACGAUCUCUAGUCUGAGUAAUGUUGACGAUUUCAACGCCUUUGUUGCUCUUGCUCUGGCAUCAGGCCUCUGAGUUCUUCCAACCUGUUUCUUGAUUUUAUAUAACAAAUAGUCCUCAUAGCUCGCAUCACAAAGCCAUCAGUUGUUGACACACGCUGUUAUAAAGGACCACGAUAAAACAUUGUAGAUAUGUGCCACAAAAUGAGGAAAAAACAUGUAUGGCUAAUCUGACAAUUGAAAUGACAGUAUGGGAGAAUAUAUGUCUGCACUGUUGUUCAGGCACCAAACAUAUUGCUGUUCAUAUUUCAUAAAGAAUGCAUUGUCCACUGAGAUAUGGAAACUGAUCCGUUUAUAGAUUGGCAAACUGAAGCGGAACUGUUCGAAACAACCAUGUCAGGGAUAUCUGAAAUUGUUUUGACAUUUAUGAUCUUUUUUUUCUCCCCAUAGCCAGCAGUGAGAGAUGCUCUGCUCUGACUGCAUGACACAGGGGGUGUGCACGCUGGAAAAACUCAACAGAGCUCAAUCCCUGACAAUCUGAUAGAGGAGUGUGCCCUACCUUAUCAGGCAGAGUGUAGCUAGUGAGUCAUGACACGUAGACAGGUUCUUGUUCUGAGACUUGUGCCUUUUUCUUACAGCCAUUUGGGUUACUGCAUAAAUCACCUCUAAGUCGCCUUAAGUCCAAAUCCUCAUGAGCUUUGAAUGGCGUCUAGCAGUAGGACUAUGGGAUUGCUGAAAAUUGAAUUUUAGUUCUGCGGAUUUGCUUAUUGUUGGGGGGGUAAUCAUUCAUGGAUUUGGUUGGGGUUCAGUUGCUUUUUUAUUUGCAGUGGAGAUAGAGGGGUUUUAUAUACGCAUGCCAUUAGAGGGUUAUAAUGGGCCACUAAAGGCAGGUUUCACAAAUUUAAUGUCACUUGUAAUAUUCAACAUAAGCUCUCUAAUUGAUCUAAUGAAAACUCAGUAUGCCUUUCAGCGGUAGCCUUUUAAACGGAAUAAUCCAAAAUAAUUUGUUUAUUGUUCAUUUAAUAGGAUUCUAAUUAGCUGUGACAUAAAACACCACAAGUCUGCACAAACAUUCGACAUUUAUUGAAGAGAAGCUAACCAUUCAUAUUUGUGAGUCUGAGAGUAGGAGUCUGAUGAACUGUUUGUCAAAUAAAAUGAAAGUGUAUCUUAUCAAUAACACCUAAACCGUGUAGCGUGCAAUGAUGGCACACUUUUCCUUGCACUCCAGCUGCUGUCAGGAGAACAAAUUGCUAUUAGCAUAAUAAUUCAGUGAACUGUCAUACAGAAGGCACAGAGGUUAUGUUGGCAGGUAUCUGUCCAUUGGCUGGUGUGUGCCCAUUGGCGAGGCCUUUAAACUGACUGGGGCAGGGCAGCCAUCAAUAAUUCAAUGGGUGUGCCAGCGCAAAGGUAAACAAUGGCUGUAAUUAGGGGAGGUCUGCACUGUGGACAGGGAGAUUAAUGAAAGGGCAGUCGUUUCCACCAGUGCCCAGAGACAAGAGGUCUUUCACAGUGACGGAGGCACUGCCAGACUAAGAACAGUCCUACUGGGGUUCUGUCAGUGUGUGGGUUUAAUAAAAUAGCUGUGUUUCCAGACAUACACCAAGACACUUCACAGGUUAUUUGUACAAGAGAAACACACACACAAAGGUUGGAUAGUUAUUCUUAAACAUUAAUUUAAGUGAUUUGUAAGAAAAAAAAACUAAUCAUGUUAAAUGCAUUUUGUCUAAGAGUGCCAUUCUUUACAAUCCUUUGUCAGAAUCACUUCAGAAAGGGGCAAGAAAAGGAAGAAGAACAAGAAGUUUAUUAAUCCCCAAAGGGAAAUUCAUUAUACCUGCAUACAGUAGAUACUAUCAAAGACACUAGGCAUCCCAGGCCUGGUGUUACCAGACCCGUCAGCUAUCCACCGCUUUCCCCUCUGUGGCCCAAUCCCAGCUUUUUAUUUGAGAUGAUUUCUGUUGCUAUGUGCCAAAACACACUCAGCAUGAACCUGACUGGUCGCAGGUCUGUUUAAUCACCUCUAGAGGAACUUCCACAUACGACGGUUGCAAACGCUGCAAUUCACAGGUUUAAAUAACAAUUCCUGUCUGAGGGAUGAAAGCUUCUUUUGAGUUCACACAUUAUGUUUGAAUGCUUGAUGUCACUUUCCCGACUUUCCUUCUUUUUCAAUCCUCUGCUCUCACAAGUCAGUGUUCUUUUAUACGCAGUGCGCUCAGCGGUUCAACACACACAUCCAUGUGAAGAAAGACUGACACACUAAAGAAGUAAUCUGCAAAGGAGAAAAAAAACUCCUCUUUUUUACAUCGGUUGACCUCUCAGCACUUUUCCCUCAUUUUUGAAGAAAAUAUAUUUAAUUUACACAGCAGCUUGUUCUUGUUUGCCCGGUUGAUUCAGUCGGCAAGAACAUCCUCCCUGUGACCUUGUCUCUUUUCACUAAGACUUUCAUCAAACUGAAAACAUGGCUGACCAAGCAACCGCUGCAAGCUGCUCAGCUCAGUUCACUCUAGCAGAAAUGUGUGCCUCCUGGUUUGUGUCUGCAAUGGUGAGAAGGAACAUUUUGGAAGCACUGUGAAGUAUGCAGUCCAUGGGAAAGCUAAGGAUGUUGAUCGAAGAGCACCGUAUGCAAAAAAAAAAAAAAAAGAGAGAGAGACAGACUGUUUUAACUAGAACUACCCAGAUUCAUUGGUGAUUACAGUAGGUUUGAUGAACCAUGGCACAUAAAAUCUCUCUAAAUCAGCUGAGAGGUGGCUCGGGAUCCAAAACCACAGAUACAAAUCCUGUAAAAAAAGAAAAAUAAAAAUAAAAUCUUUGAACCACAAAACUCCAUCUGAACUAUCACCUUGUGGGUUGUUUUUGAUGUGAUCCAGUGAUUCCUUUAAAACAACAGUUGGCCUCUGUGUUUCCCCUUUGCUUGAAGGCGCCCCAGAGACCUAUUUCAGAAGCUUUAAAAGGUUUGAACUAUUGUUGAACUGAAGUCUUUUUUUAUUUAAUCAAACUAUUGUAAAAGACUGUUUGUGUCUUCAGAAGUCCACUGUAGUCUUUAAGUGUCUUUGAGUUUGGUGGUUUCUGCUCUCAGAACAGUUUUCUUUUUUAAUUUAUUUGGUGCAAUGCAAAAUUAAUUACAAAAAAUUUGUAGCAAAACUAUUUUUUUUCUAAUUGGAGGAACUUAAAUGAAUGACUGAUCUUUUAACCUUUUGUUUGUUUUCUUUUGGUUUUGAGUGGAUGUUAUUCCUCUCAAAAGGUGUUGGGCGUAAUGAAUUUUACCACAAUGGGUGUUGAUUUUUCCACUUAAUUACAAGUCCUUUAAAUUAGCUGUAACAUGAUUAGCUUAAUUUGUUAUUCCAUAAUUAAGAGGGAGGGAAUUUGUUUGUUUUUUCAAUCUAAGAGUUAAAAGGUCGGGAGUUUUUUAAUCUCCCUCUAAAGACCCAAGCUUGUUGUCUUUGUAGAAGUACAGUGGUUUUGUAGAGUUGUGUGUUUUUAUUUAGUGUGCAGCCAUUUUAAGUGCAACCUCAUAAAGAUGUAGAAAAGAGAGCUGUUUUAUGCAUAAAAUAAUUAAAUUAUGAUGAUACAUAUGUGACAAUUAGAGGAUUACGCAUCACAGCAGCUUCUUGACUUUAUUCUUCGUCUUUCAAACGCUUACUUUGAACUCUGAAUCUGAAUGCAUCAACAUUGUCGUCAUUUGUUUGUUGGUUUCUGUAUUGUGUGUUCACAUACAUUAACGGGAUUCAGCUAAAUAGGUCAAGUGCCUUGAGUAGAAUGAAAUUCACUUCCUCUUCAGCACCAUGGACAGCACCAUGAAGAGCCUCACGCAAGCAUCUGCCCUCAAGUGUUGUUCAGCGAAAUGUGGUUGGAGUUUUGAGUGGAUUUAUAUGGAAACUCUGGGGAUUUAAUUCCAGUCAACUUGGCAGAUGAGCUGUCUUAAUUGAUUCUUGAUCAAAUGUUUACCACAGCAACAGUAAAUCUCCACCACCUUUUUAUUUUGCAGAGGGCUGGACCCUCUCUAAUGACCAAACAGAGCCUGAUUUUGAAUAAGGAGAAAACUUAUUGACAUCUUAUUUUUUUUAUUCAUGUUUUAUUUCUAUUUUUUAGGCACACACACAUGUGCAAAUGGAUUUUCUGUUUUGAAGAAAAAAAAAUCUUUUGCCCUUUGCGUCAUAGAUUAGAGUCUAUAUUCAUGUUCUACUGAAGUUUCAUGUUAAUCCCAUCACACUCGGCUAAAUCACUGAGAGCCAUGUGUUCCACAGAUCUUUGUGUGCCCAUGUGUCCCCGUUCAUGUGCCAAGAAAAAGUCCAGCGGCUGUGAUUUAAGCCGGAUUUCAAACAUCAAGUCUCCGCCUCUAGGAAACAAUGCAUUGUAAGCCACCACCUGUCAAACGUCACACAACAGGGGGGCCUUCAAGGCUGCUAAAAACACUGCUUCCUAAGACCUGUAGUUUGAGCUUUCAGCUGCAGGGGCAGAAGGGCAAAAAAAGGAAAGAGAUCCAGGAACAAAGCCAGUGCCUGUAUAUUCCAUGAUUCCCCCAUGUCAGAGCUGCCCUGGCUGGAUGUCCUCUGCUCCCCCCUGGCGAUCAUUCAUCAUGCCGUCACACGGAGCAAAGGGGGACUACGGCUCGUGUAUCUCUGCUGUACAGUGACUUCUUGGAACAUGCAUGGGGGCCACUGCAUAAUCGGUUGGUUCUUUUAUGCCUAAAAUACCUCAUCUGCAUCGACUUCACCGCAGCUGCUUUCUCUUAUCUCCUCUGAAUUGAUUUACUGUGAAUAACCGAGAUUGUAUGGCAGAUAAAAUCAGGUUCAUGUUUACAAAAUAAGCUACGAGACACAAUGCUUGAAGCAGAAGAUCCAGUGGGUUGCGAGAGUAAAUCAGUGAAUUGUUUUAAUAAGCGGCAGUCUGCACAUGUGAGGUGUUCGUUAGGAAUGUCUAUCUUUGCAUAUUUCAUAAUUUCAAAUUUAGGUCACCUUUUUUUAUGCAACCACUUAUGUCAUUGAAUUGUUGCGAUUAAAGGAGUUAUCUUUAUUACACAUAAUCCUGUAUCUAAACUGAGUGGGAGUGGAUAGUUUGCAUUUAAAUUUGUGUCACAGCAGUUGGGAGUAGGAUGUUUAAUGAAACCCUCGGGGUCUAGUUUACAAAGACUGAAACAGAAUAGAGUCUUUGUUUCAGAAUAUCACAGGAGGACUGAGCUUUACAUUUUCACAACAUCAGCCAGGGAUGGCGAUGGCUUGGAAAGGGAUUGUUCGUUGGAAGCCAUGUUUUUAUUUUAAGGAAGACUGAUCUGCUUGUGCAACUCUGCAAGAGAAGAUACGCCACUGACACCUCUUUGUCUUUGAACCCCUGCGUAUUUUCAGCUGCUGUAGUGCUUUAAAGCAUAACUCCAAGAUUUAUCUAUAUUAUCAGUCGAAUCCUGUGUCACUUUCUUGUGUCGGCUGCUGUGUUAUUUUCAGCUACAUCCUUGUCUAAAGCUGCUGCUGCUAAAGCGAUGUGUCAGGCCUUAUUCCCACACCCAGCAGGUUGUUGUUCUUCUUGAUAGCUCACCAACAGGCAUAUUACCAGUCCCGGCUGUUGUUGUCACUGAUGUGCAGCCCCAAGACACUGCCUUCCCCUGUUCACAGUUCCUAGGAGUGUUAUGUGUCAUGUAAUAAGAGUGUACACCUUUUGUCCAAGCUAGGUCUACAGGGGCCCUGAAGGUACAGUCAAGAUGGGAGGGGGGUUGAUGUUAGAUUGAGGCGACACGUCUGCUCGCUGUCCCUGGGAGACGAAUGGGCCGUGGUCACCCCGCGACGUCCCCAGACAUCCCCAGAUGUUCCGGGACCUUAUGCGGCCCGAGUGGUUGACAGGCCCGAGAGACUCAGAGUCACAGCGUGAUUAAUCACCACACACACUGCAGCAUGCAGCUCAGCUCCCGCUGGCCCACAGCCGAAUGACUGGCCACUGCGCCGCAAAACAUUUCCUUCAAUGAGAAAUAAUAGCGAUAUCUGCUGAGAUAAUGAUGCACCUAUUAAAGAAUGAAAGGGGGGAAUAAAUAGGAUUUCGUCAUGAAAUAAACUUCAGAACAAACUUUGGAAAGUCUGAGAAAGAGUUCGAGAAUUGUGACGUUUGAGAGCUGCUGUUAACAAACUUGUAUGACCAAUAGCCUAUACCAAUAAAAAUAAACAGAGCAGUUUGCUAUUGUGUAAUGCAUCUAUAGUAUAAUAUAAGGGACUGCUUCAAUGUAAAAACAUGCUGGAUACACAGGCCUACCACUCAGUGCCACUUCUUAGCGCAAAAACGUCCGUGGACAGAAAUUCUUUUGCACACAAAAACAACUACUGUCUUUGUUUUUGUUUUCUAACUGGUGCAUUGACCAUAUGCUGAAUACACUAUCAUGUAUGCUGCUAGUUUGUCUUUUAAUACUACUUUACAAAACAAGACGAUGGCCUCUACGGGGACCUGCUCUUGAAAGGUUAAUUUCAAAUUAACAAAAACAAAGAGAUUUACUUUUCAGCUGACUAUACGCUUAUUUAAACUGUAAGAAUCAGUUCUUUAGUUGACUGCUCAAAGACAACCAGAGAAGUCUUCAGUUCUCACAUAAACCUUUAAACCUCUACACAGGUAGAGUAAUACAGCGUUGGACUCAUAAUGACAGAGCUCCUAGGAUCUCCAUCACAACGAGUGCCCAUGUCCGGGUAUCAUUCCCAUUUAUCUUCUUGGGCAGGGAUUGCCCUGGACAGAGGUUGAACUUAAUACACAACCAAGAAUCAUUGGCCAGUUAUCUCUGAUGUGAACAGGUCAACCACUGUUCACGUGGUCUUACUAAAGUGUGCUAUGAAAUCUGUGUGUGUGUUGUUGACCUUGAGGCGCGUAACUACUGUAGCAAACCUGUCCGUCAGAACAAAUAGAGCCUCGACAUAAUUUACAGUCCACAUUACUCUGCUUCAUGUCCGACCUCAAAAUACCGAAAUACCUCCACACCACCGACGUUUUCGUCAGUGUUGUUGACGAUGUGGUCAUCUGUUGAGCCUUCAUGGUCAUUUCUGUCGGGGGUAGCACUCAUUUUCUUUUUCUCUCACCAACAGUGCUGUUGGCUUCACCUGUUUAACUGCUAUGGUCGGGUGUAGCUGCUGUCUGCUACGACGCAGUUGUUUGAUACUUGGUUCUACUUCAGCACAUGAUUGGUUCAGUGUGAAGUGGACCCAGAGUAACUCCCAUUUUCAUUGGCUAUUCAUAUAGUCUACCAUGGCAGAAUGCCGACUAUUGAAAAGCAUAUUGACCGUGUUUUAUAUUGAUAUUGAGGGAAAUUAAUUUUUGAUAUAUAUCGUUAUCAUUUUAUCACCCAGCCCUAAUUGUUAUGUUACAUCUUUUUUUUUUAUUCCUCUUUCGUACAGCACUUUGGUACAACUUAAUUGUUCUUACUUAAAUCUGCUACAUAAAUGAAUUGGAAUAGAAUGAAAAUAGACCUCGUAUAGGUUUCACCUUUUACUUUUUAAAAUCAAAAACUCACAACACUUUUACGAACUUUUUUGGCAGAGCACAAAACACCAAAGGGAACAGGACGGCACUGAAUGUUUAUGUGGGGAAUAUCUUGCACCGGCUGAAAUGUUGUGUUUUGAACUUCACAGAAGCAACAACCGCACACUGAGACUUGUGCAUUUGAUGAUAGAAUCUGACAAUGUCACACAGACCUUCACAGUAUGCAUUUUUAUACUCUCUUGAUGCGGCUAGCUCUUCCACAUCCCCUUCAAACAUGCGUGGGCGGUUUAAGCUGUCAUUUCAUUCCGAGGGGCAGUUUGGGGUCACGGAAAGUGAGCAGAAGCGUAUAGAGGCUUCAGAAAGUAUAAGUGCUCAUGGAUGGUUUGAUACUGCCGGCCCACUCUGUUGGACAAUAAUUAAAGCACAGUCAGCUAAUGAGUUUCUUCUGCCUUUUUGAACCUUUCUCAUCAGGACCACUGGCAUUUUCUAGGGUUCACUUACAGAGAGCAGCUUAGGACAAAAUCUGAAGUGAUAUGAAAGAAAUGCUUUUACUCUCUGUUUUACUGCAUGUCUAAUUUACUUAUCCACAAUUUGACAUCACACUAGGAUAGGCAAUUACAUUUGCAGAAUGGAUAUUUUUCCUUCAUCGUUCACUAUCUCUGCUAGUUUCACUUGAUGAAUAUAGAGUGAAAUUUCGUGUAUAACCUCAAUAAAACUGAGUUUUUAAAGGAAAGUCAUUUAAAUAAUACAUUUUAAGGUUGUGUGCACUGGUCAUAAACGCUCUUGUGAGGAGUUUUUUGACAUUUAUGAAAUGGUUUACUACUCAUGUUGAUAUUUUUUGAUGAUAUACAAAACAAAUAUCAUUUUUAUAUUGUACAUUCUAAUGCCUGAAACUUGCGCAGGAGGCAAAUAUUCACAAUAAAUGAUAUGUUUGUCUGCCAGGAGUCAGUGGGAUGAGAAUUCUUGUCAGAAAAUACUACUUAGGCAAGAAAAAGACAAGUUAAACAAAUUCCUGCUUUGUCCAGAGGGGGCAUCAGAUUUGACACAAACUGAAAGUCACUGACUGGAGCUUUAAACACAUUUGAUGUAUUCACUAAACGUUUUUGGCAGUAGUUUUUCCUUGCAUGACUAGCAGCUUAUGAUGGCGAAUGUUAGCAGACUUUGAAUGGGGUGAUAUGAAUGAUCCUGUCUACUGACCUCAAGAUCAAGAUUUUUCCACAAAAUUUUUCCAUGUUUUACUACAACUAACUCUCUCCAUCCUGAUAAGGGGCAGUCACUGUUGUUCCACAUUUCUUGUAAACUUCAUUUGGGAGCAAGCUGAGUACCUUGUUUUCAUCUGUUAUCGCCUUCUACAUGAUUUGCACAACAGUAUCUGCAGCAUGCUGCAGAAAGGCAAGCCAGCUACCUGGUUCCUGAAUUCUUCUUGGACAAGAACAGCCUCAUCAUAAACAGAAAAGUCUGCAUUUGAAAACAAAUCAUUGCUCAUAUGAAUGAUUCAUAUGCACACAAGUCUGCAAAAACAACAAAAAUCACUGUAAUGAGCAUGACAGACCAGUGGUUGCCUGUGUAACUUAGUGAUGAAACACCAACACUGAAGAUUACAAAGUACCUGCAGUAAAGUUUUAACAGAGCAGUGAGUAUAAACAAACUCACAAGAAGGUGAUGGCAAACACAGCUGAAGAGGUGUAAAUCAACUCGGCAGAGUCAACAGCACAAACCCAGCUCCACAGUUCACUGUCUGCUUCAUUGUCCUGGACAGCUGUUUGACCGGGAACAUACUAUCCUCAUGCAAAUGGACUAUCACCGUUUUCUGAAGAGUUCUGUAUUUGGUAGUUUCCAUGAGUAUAACGGGGAAAGCUUUUUCAAAAGACUCCAGUCUGAAUCCUAAAGAUAAAAACGUGCUUUUAGGGCCUGAUUUUCUCAGGGUUUGUGUGUUUAAAAAGCAAGUGUAAACUUCAGAACACCAGAGGACUCUCUGUAGCUUCAACAAGUUAAACACGGCAAACCUUCAACUGAAUACCACCUCCUCCACAGUCUCAUCAUUCCUACUUCAUCACCUGUAAAACGCACAACAAACUGUGCAAUUUGUUAGGAUGUGCAUGCAAUUGAGUGUUAUUUGGGAUCUUUGUAAAUCAGGCCCUUAGUAACCCAAAACACAGUUUUGUGUUAAAAACAGUCAGAAUGCAUCAAUAUUUAAGCUUCUUACGUGUUGAAUAAUCAGCCUCCGAGUCGUCUCCUCCUGCUGCUUCAUCUUUGUCUUCUGGGAAUUUGUCUUUGUCUUCUGGGCUCACCAGAGUUUUUUUAGCUGCACAGUAACACCGAAUGCUUCAUCUUUAACGUUAUAUCAAUAUUCUAUUUCUUGAAAAGAGAGUUACUGUCAAUGGGUCCACAGUCCUAUUAGUUUUUAUUUUAUUUUUUUCAGAUAUUUAGAGCAGGGGAUAUACGAAAGCAGUGAUUUACACUUGAAGAGUCCUAACAGCCUCUGCUUUCUUCGUGUCUCUCUUCAGAUUUGCUGUAAACUAAGCACCAUUAGGAUAUAAAGGAUCACAUUUAAUGUCCCCGUUCUUAUUACAUGGAAGCUCCAGUAAAAAGAGCUCCAGAGGCAAGCAGGAGAAUUUACUCUCCUCAGUCAUUACUUACAUAAUCCCCCAUUGUUCUCAGCUUUUCUGUACAUUCUGUGUUCCCUGAAGGAUGUUCAACACCCUUAAAGCAUCAUGACAUUAUAGCACAUCAUCUGACAAAACAAACACGCCACACAGAGCAUAACUGCACCUGUAAUUGACAGAUCAGUGAUGGCUCAUUAUCCCUUUAUUGGGUUACAUAAAUGACACUGAGGAGGAUGGUUGCGGUAACUCGGGGGAUUUCUAUGUCCAUCUGUUCAGCCGUCACAGAAUCAUUCAAAUGCAAAUGUUUUCAGCACAGGGUUCUGCUUUCUGGCUAAUGCUGCAUUUUUCAUCCUCAGACGGUCAUUCUUCGGUCUGGCCUUUACCCAAUUUUAUCAAAUUAGAUGGUCAAUUUAAGGGAGAGUGCUUUGCUUUUUUAUGAAGCAUAUGCCUCAUACAUUUCCCACCAGGAUCUGUCAUAGAACAAGAUGAGGUAAGUAUCCACUGUCACACUGUAGCUUGGCUCUAUGCAAUUUGAAGAUGCAUUGAGUUUGCUCUUUCUUGUUGAGGCUGAAGUCAACCUCUUUUGGCCAUUUGUUUUGCAAGUCUCAGAUCAGUCAUCAAAGCUCGGCCUGAAAAGAAAGGAUGGUGUGUGGCGAUGGUUUUCAGUUGGAUUCCUCUUUUAAGAUGCAGAUGAAAAAAAAAAAAAACAGAAAAUGUGGAGCAAACAAAUUGAGUCUGCCUGAGAAAAGAAAAGCGCCAGCCAGCACAAAGCGUAUACUCUGUGCUGUCAGGUCACUUUAGCAGUAUGUUUUGACAGAUAAAAGGUCAACAUGACCCAGUUCCUGCCCAGGAUGAGUGAAUGGAAGAAGCACAGGUCACAGUCAGUGACGGUGAAAAAGUGAGUGUGUCAGAGUGGAGGAGAGAUAGAGGGAGAGACAAGGACAGAGAUAAAAACCUGAAGCCUAUAUUCCAACCAUGUACUAAUAUCUGAUUAACUCUUUACAGACAAUGGUGAUCGACUGGUCGGUCAGACUGUGAUCACCAUCACUGGUCUUAAAAGUCAAAUGCCAUCUGCGGUCUGGACAUCAUCAAAUAACAGCCCAGCACUUGGUAGUUUGGUGCUUAAAGUGAUGUUGAUGUGGAUACAGAUAAUGAUAAUAAUGAUGAUGAUGAUGACAUUGUGAUUUCAUGUUGCUGAUGUUGAUUUAUAGGAGUUGCUGCAAUGAUGAUACAGUAAAAUGUAAAAGCUUUUUCACUGCGUUACUGCACUACAACCAAAUGGACUCGAAGCAGUUUGUUGCAUUUAGUCGUGUCGUUUCUUCUUGUCGAGAUCUUUGCUUGUGUUAUACUGACUCUGAAAUGUACGUUGCUCUGGAAAAAGUGACUGGCACCUUCUGUUUUCUUCUGACCACCUUUACGUGUCACAUGCAUUCAUUUGAACAUAACUGUAGAGGCUUCUUUGUCUUUAACUAUUCCCGUUCACACACUGUAAAGUCAUUAGAGGCAGGUUGGGGUCAUGUCUCACCCAAGGACACUUUGAUAUGUGGACAGCAGGACCUGACAUCUUCUGAUUGUACCACUGAGCCACUGUUGCUCCAAGCAUUCUCAGGUGGGCUCCCAGGAACAGACGAGAUUGGGAGUGUUCAGGAUGGUAGGGCCCUGUGCAAUAUGACCACAAAUAACAUCUGGGAAAUGAAAAUCCAUGUUUAUUUUUAUUUUCCCAUUGAAAAUCUGAACGCAUAUUGAUCAGACCUACUGUAUUUUUGCACCACAGAACAUUUCUGACCGGACGAGUUUCAGGUAUACCACCUGUACCUGCACACCCUAAUGUAAGUGAGCGCAGCAAUGAUUCCAGUCCCAUCCAACGUAUGGAAAAAUGAACAAAGUCGCGGAUGAAUGUGCUUUGAUUGGCUCCAAUGUGGAUGGGCAUUUUUGUUUAAAAAAAAAAAGAUGGAUGGAAGCCUAGAUAUAAAUAUAGUCUCGAGCAAAUUCUGCAAAAAAAAAAUUGCAUAUCCCCGCAGUGUGUCGAGCCUCCGGUAUCACCAGAAUGCUAAACAUGUUGCAGCUAGGGUGGAAGCUAACGUUAGUCGGGCUCAGAGUACAGAAACCCACACCAGACCCACACUCGACUCCACAUUCUGUAUUAUUCGUUCCUAAAUCUGCUGCACCUUAUGGCAUUAAAAAAAAGCACUGAUCUGUUAGUCUUGGUUAAGUAUCACCUUGAAAAAAAAAUUAAUAAACAGGUUUUGUUUGCUUAAGCUAAUGUAUUCAUUUAUUCCGUAUUCAUUGAUUCACUUGUUUACCAUUUAAAAAAAAAAGAAAAAACAAUUCUCACUGUCCUCAGGUUAAAUACUUAUAUGCAAUUAAAACGCAAUUAAUAAAUUACAAAGCCUGUGAUUAAAAUAGAUUGAUUCUUUUUAAUUGUGUUCCAGCUCUAGUUUUAAAACCUUGUAAAUAUGAGUAAUGUCUAAAAUAAAGUCACAUUAUUGUCACCUCUUUUUGUGCAAAGACACUCUCAGAUUGUUAUGAUUUUGUUAGUAAUGGUUGCCUGGGCUGCUGUACUGUUUUGCUGCUCAUUAGCAGCAAUAUGUCAAAUUACUGAUAUUAAGUAAAGAAAUUAAUCAUUUAUGCUCAGAAAAGUUGCUUCAGUAAGCGCGUUGACCCCGGACCCCAGUUAGCAGACUGUUAUAAUCUUUUAUGCGACACAACAGCUGGAGUUUUCUCAUGACUUGCGGGCAUCUUCAGACAGCAGUUAUCCUCAUUUCCUACCUCUGACAUGCCACUCACAAAUGCCAGGACAUGGUUUCGGGGUGCUUGAUCAAUUUCACGGUAGUCUGCAGAGUUCCCGGCGAGGGAGUGAGUUUGAGGGGCUGUGAUAGCAUCGGGCGACCCCUUCCUCACCCACGCUAGGGCUGUCUAAUCGGCCCUCCAGCUGCAUCCAGCCAGAUGAAGGGAACCCUGUUGACUCCUAAUCUGUGUCGCCUGUGAUCCGUUCUCCACCUCGGCGGCACGUGCGCGACUGGGUGCGGGGAAGAGAGGCAGGGAGUAUACGUUUGUUUUCUUCUUGUCAUUGUGGAGGUUAAUGGAAGGAGAGCCAUGGACCGCUUGAGGAAACAGAAGACAUAAUGUUUGGUUUCACUUUGUGCGAGCUCUCUUUCCUCCUGUCAUCUCUCCUGCCUCCCUUUUUGCUACACCCUCUUCCUCGUCUUUUCUCCCUUACCGUGUUUGAUUCCAAGAUUUACAUUUUUUAUGCCUCCACUUUUGUCUCCUUCUCCCACUGACAUAGACUCAGGAAAGAAGUUAGCAUCAAUUAUUAAAGGAAUUAAAGGACUAUAGAAGUAUAUUUUGUAUGAAAUAACUGUUGGAAAGGUGUGACAGCCAUACUUUUCUACAUUCUGUAAAACUGGGCAACAUGUGUCAGUCUCCAUAGAUACAGUGUUCAUAUGCAUGGAAGGGUGACAGUGACAGUUGUUCCAACUAAUCAUAAUUUAUUAAAUGUGUCAUAAUCAGUUCUAAUUAGCUGAAUUAAUCGACAAAGCGCAUUUCCAAUGUUUCACAGCUUUGUAUAAAAAGAGCCUCAGAUUUAUCAAUCAUUAUUUUGUUUUUAUAAUUCUUAUUUUCUGUGUUAACGCCUUUUAAUGAGCUUCAUGUGCCUGAUGCUUUUUUCAUUUUCACUCAGCUCAUUGGUUAAUAUUUCCCUGUUUAUACGCUGAGUGUUUGGAUUAUUUCUUACAGGGAACGAGGUGUUAGCCCCCAGAGUACCAUUUGCAACACUGUAAAACAUUUAACAGAAGAAAAACACGCUGCUGCUGCUGCUGCUGCUGCUGCUGCAUGGUCAUUGCAUAAUUUAUUUGAUGGGAGAGCCUUGUGUUAUACAAGGAUUAACUCAUAGUAAGUUACUAGAAGUUUUACAAAAGUUUCCCUUUAAAGAUCCGUUCCGAAGAAAAUCAUUGUUGUCUACGUAUUCGUGUGGUAUUUUUCUGAUGCUACAGGACAUUUCGAUAGCAAUGACCACGCCACAGUGAUGUGCAUUUGAAUAUUCAACAUGAAUUUGGGAAUGUGUAUGUCUUGUCUGUUGUGUUAUGUGUGUUGUGAUGGAUAAUGAGGCUAAUGAAGAGUGUUGAAUGUCUGGUUGGUCUGGGAGGUUCUGUAGAGGCCCGGCAGGGAGAGACCCAGGACGGGGGUUCCGUCUCAGGCGUUGUUCUGCUCGAGCUUAGUCCAAUCCAGACUGUACCUGAAAAUGGAUUGAGAUCAGAAAGAGGUGGACCACGAAGGUGGUAGAAGCAUUACUGUUGAAGAGGGACGGAGGGUGGGUCUAAGAAUAGCAGACAAACAGACAAACAUAUCACGAAAAAAGCAAGUGCAAAACUGCAUUUCUGAGUAUUUCUACAUUCAAAUCGUUGUGAAGAUUUACUGAGAUUUACUAUGUCACAAAUCCAAGCUCCGCCCCCAGAGCCCCCACAAUGCAGACCUGACUCGGAAAAGCAGUGAGGACGAUCACGGAACAAGCGUGUGCGUUAGCGGACUGCAAUGCUAGUAAGAAAGCUAAAUAUGAUUUUAACUUCAUCAUGACCACUAAGAACACUUUAAGUAGUGAAAAUAAAGGGUUGGGCCGGGACUUUAAACCAAAAACUUGACAAAGGCCUCUGUUGUGCAGCAUCCUAAAAGUGCAAACAGUUAAAAAUGGCGCCUUAUUCCUCACGGUUUGAGCUUUACCAUCAGAUACUCAUUAGUCAAAAUAUAGCAAGUUCAAGAAAAAAUAUGCACAUUUGUAACCAUUGUCCUGGGAAAUGUAGAAAUAGAGGUUUCACUCAGGAUGAGUCUGUUUUGCAUUCCAACCUUGGCUUGAAAAUAAACCACUCAGGGAUUUGAAACACUUGAAGAAGUUGACUAAUAGCAUAGACUUUCCUGAUCAAAGCUUUAAGAAAGACAACUCUAGUAAUUAAUCCCCCUUUUCCUUAUGUGAACAGCUGCUAAUUACAUCUUGUACAUACAGAGCCCCCUCAGCCAGGACUCAAAGUCCAACUCUCGUUCUUAAACUCCCAUCUCUGACAAAUGUUUCCACAUCUCAGCUCAUUAAUCGUUCGAAAGAGUUCAACUUCUCCAUCUCUAUUCAUCUUCAUCCCACAUUUCCCCGCCCCAUAAUAUCCUCCUCUGAUAGAGAAACCUGAUAGCAAGGUUCAACAAAGCCAAAGGGACAAGUGUCUCAUCUUCAAACAAUCCAUAAAUAAAAAACUGUGUCGAGAGACUCAGUGGAAAAGUCUGGACCCGUGCGGCCUCAUGAGCCGUCAGAGGAGGUAGCACACAGCAGGUCAACUGGGUGUUUUGGUGACAGCACAGCAGCCAGUGACUCAACGGGUUUUACUUUAUGUAUUCACAGAAAUACAACAAAUAUACCUGAAGUUAAACUCCAGAAAUGCACAAUCUGUACGGAAGCUCCCAGAGCUGUUUUCUUUGAUAACAGCUUUCUGUGAAGAAAAGAGGUUAUCCUCCUCUUCUCUGCAUUUGAACCAUUACAUCACAUCUCUUAAUCAUUAUUCAAACAUCAUUCCUGCAUGUUUCCUCUUUUGAAUGAGAGAAAAGCCGGAUAAAAAAAUCUGAUCCUUGUUGUUUUUCACUGAUGUCAUCAACCAGACAGCUAAAGGCGCUGAUUUAAUUCAAAAGGAGUUGCAAUCCAUUGAAAAUGAGAUGGUAAAUAAAAAGGAAGUGAGGCUUUGUACUCCAUGUUCUCUCAUAGUACUUGACUUUAAACAUGACAAUUUCAACAAGUUUCUCACUCUGUUAAGAAAGAGCUGCAGUAAAACAAAAAUUAUAUGCUAUUCCUGAAUAACAGUUUUCAUGUUUUAGCAGGAAGAGAAGAAAAAUGCACUUUUAGAGCUCUCCGAACUGACAUGGACCAAAAUUAUCCCUUUAUCAAAUGUGAUGGACACAUUUCCUUCGUAAGCCUCUAUCUUUAAAUGCUGCAUUAAAUAAAGGAUGUCACAUUUUAUAAAUGCCUUUGGUUACAUGUGCAAAGACAAAAUAGGUGUCUGAAAUAACUGUAGGACUGAACUCACUACCAUACCUCACGAAUAACUGCCUGUAGAUGAGAAGAUUGUGCAGAUGACUGAUAAACGCUGUAGUGUGAGAGAUUUAUACAAUAAAAGAGAACAAAAGCAGUGCGGCUCACUUAAAGCGUUUUCAUGUUGUAUUAAGUUUUAAUGCAUGUGGGAACAAAGCGUCUGGGUGUAAAGCUCCAUUAAAUGUUAAAGUGACAAGAAGAAUAUAGAUAAACCAGCGCCACCAACCAACCGUUUAUACUAACCAGAUUUUUUUUGUAGGUGCACAUAACCCCAUGACACGACAGAGACACAUAAAUAAUAGUUCAUCAUACUUUGAAUUAAAAUUUCAGUCCCUGAAAUUAGUCUCUUUUUUUCCCUCAUUAACUAUUUUGCUUUAUGUGCUCAGACUAUUUUCGCUCUUCUCUGAUCCCUCUUUAUGCAUACGGAUACAGACGAAGCCUCCCAUUAGUUCUCUGCAUGUUACUCUCUAUUAAUAUUUCUCAUGUUCUCUGCAAGCUUGCAGAAAAGGACCAAAUGCAUCAGUCAUACUAAAGAUGUGGGAGCAGUCAGGCCAACAGCUCAAACUACAGACUUUGUGAAGCUCUAUCCAGGUGUAGGAAUUAAACGGCAUCACAGACCCCCACGUUGGGGAUAUUAUUCUUUUACACCUUUACAACAAAAACUAAUUAGUGUUCAUACUACAUUUAUAAGGUAAUCGUAUUUUGUCUUAAUCUUAGAAAUUAGAUGUAAACUGUUAAAAACAGUACCUUGUGAGAAAAUAUGAGACUCACUAAAAUGAUUGCAUCAGGAUAUUUUUAUUUUAAUACAUCAGAGAGAGAAAAAGGACUUUUAAAAUCUGAAAACCGUGUAAAUCUAUGAAAGAGGGAUGAAAAAAGGAAGUGUAGUUUGAAAAUGCAUAAUGACACAUCUUUAAUCAAAUAUAUCUUUAUUAUCAUCGCCUUUAUCGCCUUCAUCGCCUUUAUUAUUAUCAACUUCUGACUUCUUAUUUUUGUAGGUAACUUUUGAGUCUAAACUUCUGAGUCUUUUGAGAAUUAUAGGGCCUCGAUAAUAAAGACAGUGAUCAGAGGUUAAAGACAGCCCGACAGGCACUCGUGGAGUGAAACUAUGGUUUUUGGGAGGCACAACAAAUGGAGGAAAUAACAUGAAGCUUAGAGUUAGAUGGACAUCAGAAGUGGAGGGUUGAGGUUUGAUUUUGCUUGUCCUGUAAAUUCUGCCACAAUAGAAACUGACAUGUGGGAGCGAGAUUAACAUAAAUUGUAAUUAAUGCUCCAGCAGCUAGUAACAUUCAACUCGACAACCAUCCCAUCAUUUACCAUGAUUAUUUACUUUAAAGUCUCAUUAGACUGCUGAAAGAUUUUCACUUUUUAAAGUUUGGACUGUAAAUAAAAAUAUAUAUAUCUGUUGUCAUGUGUAAAGUCUCUGAUGUUUUCAAGAUUUUGAUACUUAGGUAUAGGCCAGUCAAUUUUCAAAACAGGAAAUAAAUCUACCCAUAACCAUUAUAUCAAACUAUCAUAAUGACAGUUACAGUAAUUAAUGCAUAUAUGACAUGGACUGCAUCUGUUUACUGGAGUUGACAGUCCCUUUAUAGCUAACCCAUACAGAACACUGUUCUGCUCAUAUACACAUAAUGUUGAUGCAGGUUUUUGUUUGUAUCCCGGGAAACAGUUUUUGUAGAGAGCAGAAACUUUGGUCAAACUGCGGUCCAGAAACCCAAAUAUGACAUCAUUUCCUUAUAGACAUCACUUGGACACACAACCCCAGCCUCCGUGUAUAUUAAAGUAAGCCUUCAAACUGUGAUGAGUGCACAAAAACAUUAGUUGGCUCAGACAUCCCUGAUCUGCUGACUCUUGGCCACCACUGAGACCCUGAAAUAUGGUCCAUCAACUCCAGAGGCAAAAUUGUCACCAGGACAGCUGUUGGGUUCUGAGAUCCAGGCUGCUGAUAUUGGCUUUUAGCCGUCACAUGUCGGUCCAGCUGAAGAGAUUUGUUUUGAGACAUUUACUCUGCAGAUGAGGCAACAGCGAUGUAGCACCAAAUCAGGAGUAAUUUCUGUCCGAUACUCGGUGGCAGAUUUUACACUCAGUCAUUUGUAUUCAUAAAGACAGUGGGAUCAUGCUGCUUGGCUUCCAAUAGUUAUUAUGACUGGUAAAUGCUUGGCUUUUUACCCAGAUUUGGGGUCAGAGUGGUAAUGUCACCAAUUUUACUAGAAUAUUAAGGCUUUAUGAGAGGGUUUGUCGAUGAUGUAAGCUUGUUAAAGUGCUGAGGAAUACAAGGAGGAAAAGCAACACAAGGACACCAAGGUUUCCAUUAGACAAAUUUGAAUCAGUUUUCUGAAUUUUCUUCUGCUUAUUGUUUAUUUUAAGAAAUCUGUUUUAGUAACCACAUCGGUGUGGAUCCUUCAGCGUUCACGCCUCAGCUCACCCAUGUCUUGCAGAUAUUUCAUUUGAAUUUUGGCUGAAAAUAUUUAUGGUUGAAGUUGAGGUGCAAGUUUUGGCUGUUCACAGUGUUGUGUAAACAGUGAUGUAGACAGUGUGGCCUGCAUUAAUCAAACAUGUCCUUUUGAGUGAAUAGCAGACAUGUUGAGUUAUUUUAUAAUCAAUUCAAUUUAAAAAGUGUUUUCUUUGUUUUGGUUUUAAGUCAGAAUAAACUGUUUUUUUAUUUAAUUGAAUGUUUGCCCCCCUUCUGCAGAGUCCUCUACACAUAGACUGUAUAUAGAGUGGACGACAUCUGCCUCCUCGCUGGGUAAAGCCACUGUGAGAACAGCACCCUCUGGUGACAGGCUGCAGUAUAGGUCAUAAAUCCCGCCUCCUCCAACAAUCCCUAUGGAAUAUAAAUUAUAUAAUUUUUCUCCACCCUUGGAUGCGAUGUUGACAUGUAGUUACUGUAAGACUGGUUUGUGCUCAAAUCCUCUUUUUUCAGUGCAGCGCCAUUUUUAAGACUCUCAGCGACUCUCCCGCCAAAUGGGUGCAAUGCUACUGCGCAAGUGGUGGUUCCAGGAGGUGGAGAAAAUCACAGAAAUGCUGAGAGCAAUUCAGCUUCAAAUUCAUUUCAUGACGGAAGGUGGUGCCAAGUCGUCAAUAGUAUAAACAGUCUAUGCCUCUCCAUUUGACUGUCAUGUUUCUACAGUUUCUACAUAACAGAUAUUUUGCGAUUGCUGUUAUGCACAAUGAAGAAGAGAGAGGUAGUUGUGUGCAAAACAGUUUCUAAUGAAAGAUGUUUUGAUACUCAACACUUGUAAAUGGAAGAUCACACUUAGCCCUGUGUAUCACCCCAGCUUCUUGUUAUUGAAGGCCACAGUUACCUGGGAGGCUCCGCCAGUGCAACAUGACAGUACUUACGAAGGCUGUCUAUGGGCGACCUGUCUCACAAUGACCUGGAAUAAAAGCGUUUUGUGCAUUCUACAUUCAAUAGGAUAGAUAAUGAUAUUGUGUUUGUUUCUUCUGAGUGACCAAAUUUAGAGGAUUUUUAUAGUUAUGGUGAGAGGGUCAAACUUUAAAUCGUAUAGCCUGUGGUCCUUUCUCCCGUGUCCUUUUAGAAAAACAAGGUUUGUUUUGCAGGUGGCAGCUGCUGAAAAAAUAAGGCUGACUGUGCUCAUGCAGGAAAAUGUUUGCUGAAAUUUGACAGAAAGAGAGAGAGAGAAAAAAAAAGUUAUAUUAUCACUUGUACAGAAAACAGUUAUUUCUGUGGGACCUUAAAUGUUGACCUCCCCACAGUUGGAGUAUUAUUUUCUGCAGGGUGAAGCCAGAGCGGUAUAUUAAUGCCAUUUCAUUAAUUUGUGGUUCAGACUUGACUUGCCUCUGGCAUCUUUUUCUUAUAUAACUGAAAGUGAUCUGCUCUGCCCAAGGAGGCAGAUCAAGUGAAGUCAGAAAACACAGCAAGAAUGAAUCCAGCAAAGAAAAGUAAUGAUCGUUGUUCAAUCACAUUAUAAACACAUGCUGCUUCUCUUCUGUUUAGUCAUUGCAAGACUUUACAAUUACCAUGCAGUACUUAAAAAAUGGGAUGAUCAGUCAAACAUUUGGGGGAUUUACCGAUAAAACUCAUAAUAAGACAGAUAUCACAUUCAUGAGUGAACACGUCAGUGGACUCUGGACCGGUUGUGAUAAAUUGCUAUCUCAGGAUCUCAGAUUUUUGAUUUAUUGAAAAUACAUGAAGAAAAGUACUGUGCAUUGGGUUAGCAUGGCUGUGAGACAAUAUGCUGCUUAUUGCUAAACAUAGCCUGUUAAUCAGUCAGUAAGGUCACAAAGCCUAAGUAGAAAUAUCACAAGAUGUACUCUUAAAGGUCCCUUUUGGUUAAGUGGUGCUCACAGUCACUGGAUGGAUCGUACUAGUUAACUGUUCUAUGUCCAGGAGCAGGUGAUGCAGGAUAACAGCUGUCACUGCUAUAAAUGGCUGUAUAAUCUGUUAUUACCUGCUGAUGUGGAUUAAAGUUCCUGGAACAGAGGAUUAGUUAGGUGAAGUUUUUUCAGUGGUAUCACUUAUUGCACUUUAAAUGAUCAUUUUUUGUUUUUAUUUUUAAUAAGAUGAGCAAUAGGGACCGUUUUAAAAUGGAGAUGACCAAAAAAAGCCGAAGGUUUUCUUUCCCCCUUCUAAAAUUUCCACAAGAAGGAAAAAUAGCUCUCAUUUAAAAACUAUGAUGUCUAAAGAAAUUAUGACACCAAUGAAAACAGGAAGUUAAAAUGACUAAAAAACACAUUUUUCAGAGAUUAUGACUGAGACUAUAAAACUCAGUUUAAUUUUCUUGUUAAAUGUGUCAUUGCCUCUCUGUCCACACAGUGGGAUUACAUCAGUAGUUGGCUUUAGCAGCAUCUUUGGGAAGACGCUGAGACAUAAACCUCCUCAGUGAGGUCUGAUUUUCUGUUUAUGGACUGCCAAGUUAAAAGAAGUGUGGUCAAGCACGGAGCAAUUAACACGGUCAUAACCAGAAAGACUCAGCGUUGGUCUUUAAAGACUUUAAAGCUUGUUUUGUCUAGAUAGCUGUAAUCCAAAUUUGCAGAGAGGCUAGUGCCAUUUUCAGAGUAUGUGUGUUAAAAUGUAAUGGACAUAAAAUUUAACAAUAAAGAAACAGCAUGAAAAUGCAAAUAAGCAGAUAACUGUGUGAGUAGAGUUUUGUUGCUCAGGCUCUCAGCGUAUCAAAUGUCUGCUGCAGGGGUAGAGGCACAUUGAGAGGCAUCUAAUGAAGAUAGUGUGACUACAACGUUAUGUAAUUAUCCGGCUCAUAUAUUUCUCACAGUUACUGUUAAGUGUUUUGUGUUAGUACACAACUUUCUCGCCCCUUUUAACAUUUUCACGUUUAUCCUUGGUUAAACUUGACUAGUUUCCUUUAGAGUUUUGACUUCAAAUUAAUUAAUGGAGGAUACAGAUUAAAAGCCACACAAAGACAAGGCUGUUUUUUUUUUAAACAAGAAUGUGGAAGUUGGCAGCACAACCAGCAGUCAUUGUAUGCCCACAGUUUUUAAUUAAGAUGUGAGGGAGUGCGCAGUGAUUGCCUUUGUGAUAUGAGCGUGCAGAAACAUCAUUUCCUUUGAGAAGCUCCUCAAAGACUCUUGUAACUCAUGACUGGAUUUUUGGCAGGGCUCUUUUUCAAUUCCUUCCCAUUUCUCCCCUUUCAGAUGACUGUGGUGGCAGAACCUCCUCGGGGCAAACUACAGGGAGACUUUUGAAGUGGGCCACUCUCUAAAAAUGGUAAUACUUGGUUUUAAUUUGUAGUGGAGUUUAGCCUGAGGGAUGAGCUGUGCAGAGUAAAAAUGAGAAUAAUGAAAUCCUCAACGCGCAUGUUUGAUAUUCUGUGAAAUACAGAAACACGAGAAAGGAAGAUGGGUGGAGAGAAGGACAGCAGGGGACAAAAUCCAUUUGUUGAAAGAGAGCAGAGCAGGAUAUCUGGGCAGGGAAUCAAUAGGAUAAGAGGUUAUUAGCUGAGAAAUGUCACUUGAAACAUCGAUCAUCAUCUCCAUUGACUGUGGGGACAUGUAGACACACAGGGUCAAAGCAGCUUAUCAGUCAGCACUGAUGGGAAACUAUACAGUGAGGAAUGGGUGUCCGAGAUGCAAGGUUUACACAAACCCAGAGAAACGGCCACAAGAGCCCAGAUUACGAUCAUUCACGUAUUCUUCUCUUGUCUCAGUAAAAGUUGGCAUUUUGUGACAUUAUUGGUCAAGGCAGGAUAAAGGUAAACUCAUUUAAAAAUAUAUGAAAUAAAAAAAUCAAAAUAACUCAUACCACUUGCAGCUUUUGUGAGGAACUUGAGCUUUAUUGGUUCUGAUGGACACAGUGAGACCUUUCAUAUCCUUAGCCCUUUAAUGCCUUUUGUAUCAUAUUUGAUACAUACUUUAAUGAUACUUCUAUCAAAUCAAUAUAAUCGACAAAUUACAAAGAAAAAAAAAGAAGAAAAAACACCUCAAUACAGACUGAUAAAUGAUAAAAAUGUCCUCUUUUGGUUUGUCAAUUUCCAAAAACAUCUAAUGUAACAAAUGAGAUCAAUAUGUGUGUGUGUGUGUGUGUGUGUGUGUGUGUGUGUGUGUGUGUGUGUGUGUGUGUGUGUGUUAAAUUUUAAGGACAUUUUGAAAUAAAUGAAAUAAACAAUCCAGCUCCCAAAAAAAUUUGAAUUUUUUGGCCAUAAUUUGUGGUUUCAGGCGUUAAAGGGUUUAGUGUGUCACUCAGUGUGAAUAUCUGCCGUGGUAGUAAACAAAAAUGCAUUUUCUCUCGUCGGCUUAAAAUCAUCUGAUCUGACUCAUGCCCCUUCACAGUGGUCCUAGAUAUUAAAAAUUACAACAGAGAACUGAUCAGUCCGGUUGCUGAUGGUCAGUCAUCACUUUCAGUUGCAGUCUGUUUGUCAACCAGUUAAAAACUCCACAUGGUGGCUUUUACCAGUUACUGUUUCUUUUUAGGGCUUGUAACCAACUCAGAUGUGCAGUCGCCCCCCUUGGAGCCCUCAUGUCUGAAAAAAAAAAAAAAAAAAAUCCUGUCUUGAGCACCUUUUUGUAGAUAUAAUAUUCUGAAAUACCACCUCUGAUGCCCUUGCAGAAGAAACCAUGAAGAAAUGUCUUUGAAGGUGCCCUGUGGUUGGCCCUCCAGUGGAUAAAAUGUGAACAAAGUGCUCUAGGAAUGCACUGUGGAUGUUUUGUAAUAAUAUGCCCUAUGAGUAAAUUUAGCCAGGGCCUUUGAAUAUCAGAGGAGAGUAAACAGAGCAUUUCCUCUGCGCAUGUGUGUUAGAACAGUAGUAAUUGACUCAGAUUCAAAUCUCUUAAAUACUAAUUACAGUUUUGUCUUUCAGCAGGUUGAGCAGCUUACAUAACCGGCGAUGAUGCACAGAAAAAAAAAACUACAAAUUGAAAAAUAUCAGCUGUGCAACCAACAACAGAACAUGUCCCCACUCCCUCAUCCACAGUCAAUCAGUGCUGGAAUUUCUCAGCCAAUGUAACACAGUUGACAACCAAAGCUUUCAUUAGCUUUCCCCUGGCAACUCGGCGAGUGGCAGCCUGUAAUCAAAUCUCCAACUUAGGUAUGUUGUUAGCACUUUUCUCACAUUCCUGCCUCCGCGUGUAGUGAAGGGAAAUCUAUAAUUCAUCUCACAAAUGGAAGUGGCAUGUACAACACAUUCUUGUGUAGGAGUUUCGCUUCGUCCUCCGGGGUGCUCAACUCAUCCAUUCAAUCACAAGGAGUGGCAGUGUACAGAGAGAAAAAAAAGAGAGGAGCAGAGAUAAGGAGAACACGAUGGGAAGAAAAUGUUGCAGGCACGUUUCAUUUAAGCAUUACUUAAAUGAAAAAGUGCAUUAGAUAAAUGAGAGGGGCAUGGGAGAUAGUGAUAAGAAGGAGACAAGAGAGGAGCAUUUCUUUAGGAUCAUUAGAGAGAAGAAAAUGUUCAGAGACUCAUUAGCAUGAGGCGCGGCGGGAGAGACCCUGUCUUGAUAAAUGUUCUAAAGGAGUUACAGAGGUAAUAACUGUUUUAUACGACAUAUAUACAGAAUGAUAGCCCAAACAGAAGUUCAGACCUGUACACAUUUGAACUUUUUCCAAACACAAACACAAACAAGCAGUCGACUAGCAGAGGUCCUCCACCAAGGCCCAGUCAAUCCAUCAGAGGCAGAAGUGUGCCAUGGGACAGGGCAGUGCCAGUCACCUUGGACACGGGUGUAGGCCAGUUUCACGGCACAGUGGACAUUAAUGCUCCUCCCUCGCUAGAGGUCAAUAACUCAGCUCACUCCAUCACAUGCACGAGGAUGUGUACAUGCACGAGCGUCGGUAUUCACCCUGCACAGCCCUCAGUGCACUCACCUUUACAUUCAGAGGCAGAAGGAGGGAGUAAUAUGGAUGGUUGGAGUGCGAACAUCACCUUUUAGUGGGCAGUGGUGAGUUUCCAUACAGUUUUACAAUUUAAUCACACAGUGUAAGGCUUCAUCUCUUCUUAAUCUUUCUCUGUGAGUAUUGUUUCCUGUGCACCAAAGUGGCUUUACCUUCACUGUGGAGAAAUAUUGUGACCCACAUUACUGCAGCGUAAUCCAUUCCUAGAUUAUGAUGUGCAAAAGCAGCCAAGCGGGGUGCUUUAAUCAAAGCAAGUGAUCCAUUUCCUGCACCAUCCAUCUGACACAGCAGCAAAUCGUGCUUCAUCAAUUUCAAGCGUUAAAAAAACACACUGAGAAAUGGCAAAAGGAAUGUUGAAAAGAAGUAAACAGGCUUUUGUCGAGUUGGGGAGAAGAAUUCAGUGAGGAGAGUGUUGGUGGGUUACAAUUCAGACAUUUGGUUGGGUUUGGCUUUCAGAAGUGUACUAACACUUCAGUGGUGAUUGAAACUGUUUUAGUACCAAGAAUGAGUCAGAAAGAAUGACUAAUGAAAUAAUUUCGCCUUGUAAUCAUCACAGAGAAAAAAAGAGCCUCUUGAAAAAUGAAUUAACCAAACGGAAAUCAAUAAUUCAAACAAGCAUAUUCAACAAAAUAUGCUUUAAAAUUUAUUUGGAGUUUUGUUCUCCCUCAAAGGAAAUGAUGCUUUAAAUAUAUUAUACAGCUCUGCCUGACUGCUCAUAUGUUUGCGCCCUGCUUUUUCCAGCGCUUCAAGAAACAAUGUUGAGUACUCAUAUACAAGCAGCACAGCAAAAGUCACAUAUGAGUGAGUCAGUUUUAUGCUAAUGUGCUGCAUUAUUCAGACAUAAAAGAGCCUGCGUUGUACCUGUAUUGUCAUCAAUCGCUGAUACUGUUUUAAAAAUUCCCGACAUCUUGAAACUCCCACACGCUGGAGUUUUGAGAGGGUCAGAAAAGGCCAAAUCAUGCAUAAAUAUAUUCUCAUCCCUUGUGGUCUCUAAACAUGCACACAGCUUUAUGCGCUGAACUUUUGUCUCAGAGCUGCCAACCUGAUCCAGGAGCUAUGAAUAGUUUUAUUUAUACACAUAAACUUCCACAGUGAAUUGGACUUUUUGUCUGAUAGAAAGUUGCUGUAAUGAAAACUGAAAACCGUGUCUAGAUAAUGGUGGAUGGGACAUUGCUUUUGAAAAGAUAAGCUCUCUGAGACAGCAGGAGUCGAGAGGAAGUGAUCUUUCAAUACGGUUAAAACAGCGGCUAAAUACUCAAUCCCAAGUGCUCAGCACACUGAAAAUCCUUAAAUAAAGUCUGGGAUUAAAUUAGUCGUCAGGCCUCAAACCAGGUUUCACUUCAUUGGCUGGGACACUGAAUAUUUCUCUCAGAACUUGUCACAACUUCUGUUCACCGUGAUCUCCACCACACCAGUCACAUGUUCUGUACAUCCAGCAAACAUGAACCUUCUGCACCUCUCUUUUCUAAAUACUCCAUCUUACCGAUCGACAAACUCAGUGUCUUUCACUCUUGUAUGUUUGUCCACAAAUUCAUCAAUAACAAACAAGCCCUUCCGACCUUCACCUGUACUCAACACGACAAAAUGGCCAUCUUCAGUUACCUUCGUGUCCAACUUCUAGUCAUCAGUCUAGCAUCACUUUUAGAGGUCAGAAACUGUAGAAUAAUCUGGAUGCAUCUCUAAAAUCAAUAUCAUCCUUUAACUCCUUUAAAAUAUCAUUAAAAUCUCAACUAAUCAUGUCUUAAAUGCAUCAUUAUUUGUUAUGAUCAUGUUUCUUUCCUCUUAUGAAUACUUUAUUGUCUUUAUCGCUGUUUGUUGAUUAGUCUGUGUUCCAUUUAUUGCAGUUUGUACCUGUUUGACCUUUCCCUAAUCAUUGUACAUGUGUAACCUGUCUAUGUUACUUAGUUGUCUGCACCUUAUGUAUACCUUUGUAUAAGCCUAUCGGCUUCGUUCCCUCCUUGCACUGUUUUUAAUCUGUGCUAAAUAAACAAAUACAAAUACAAUUACAGCAAUGCAAGAUUGAAAGUGAACUAUGUUGCCAUCUCUGUGCAGUUGCACUAGUUUUUCUGUUCACUUUAGCAUCCCUUCUCUCUGCUAUAGAGAACCUGUCUGUUCACUCUCAUUUAGACAGUGCAGCAUUACAUCCACACGUAUGUUGAGGGGGAUCAGAGGUAACAGUUCCUUCUCUGCUGUGGCCCCCGCACAGUAAAACCUGUUACUCCACUACAUGAAAUCGUCCAGACCUUACUACUGUCUGUCAUGGUUGUGCAGCCUGUAUGUGCAGGGUUGAGCUGCAGACUGAUUUAAUCUCCCAGUAAUGUCAAAGUGAUAUUUACAGAGUUCAUGUACCAUCCAGAUUAGGUCCUCUGGGAGUGGAACUGUUGUCUCCAUCACUGAAGAGUUUGAGUAAAACUAUGUCCAUGAGCACUUUGGAGCAAAUACCACCAGCUCUCAGCAGACUGUAAAAAGUUCACUUCAGCUUUUAGCACAGGUGUUAGUGAAUUAAGUUUUUUUAUUUUUUAUAUUUUGCAAUGAGGCACAUUUACUUGGAAAGAGGUGUAUUUUACAACAGAUGAAUGCAAACUGGCAAAAAUUCCCUAUAAUCAUCGGCUUCCUGAGUCCUCCAACCUCCAGGAAAUACUCACAAAGCAAUUAAUCAAUAACCAAGUAAAACCUGAUUAAAUUAUUUCCUUCAUUUCCACCAGGACAAGACUAAGCGUGCUGCAUUUAAAGGGAAUUUACUAUCCUCACAGCUAUGGAGGACAAAAAGAAACAGAAUGAAACAUAUUAAUAAAAAGUUGGAGCAGAUCCUCUGGAGACGCUCUUCACACUAGAUCAGCAUUAGUCCCGCCCACUGACUUUGAUGGGUGAGUUUGACAGAUAAAAUAAAUUCAUGAAGCACUGCGACACAGGUCCAUGAAAUAAUUAAUUAAAUAGUAAAAUAAUAAUAUAUGUUUUCACAUUGAAUGAACUGGUAUUUUAAUGAAUUAAUGACACAUUUGUGUAUUUAGUUUCCAUUUUUACUGACUAAUGACAUAUUUAAAUAUUUAUUUAAAGAUGUAUUUAUAUUUCUUUCUCUUUUUGUCCUCCAUACAAACCUCAUAUAUGUAUCUAGAUCACAUUGAAGUGUGGGCGCAAUCACUGUGUAUAUCAUUCAUAUAUUUACACAUUUAGCAAUGAAUCUUUUUAUUCAUAUUUAUUCUGCAUCUCCCAUUCGAACAGCUUGAGUACGAGCACCUGCAGUUCCUUAGACGCAUAGCCUCUGUGUGCCGGCUUAAGGGCCUUGAGUGUCUCAUCUACAGCAGGGAGACACGCUCCUUAUAGCUUUCCAAUAGUGAAUAAAGCCUGUCCUUGUUCUGUUGUUCUCUCCAAUAAAAGGUAGUUAUCUAUAAACCUGGUAGGCUGGAUCCGGGAAAGGUGCCCUCCUGAGACAGAUUAUAUGGUGCUAACAGGAUCGUCAUAGGUGGAUGAGACCAGAGAGGAAAAUAAUAAAGAAGAAGGCCCUCUAUUACCUGUUCUUCUGUCAGACCUGCUGUGUUUUUUCACAGAGCAUCUUGGGUGAUGCUUGGGUGAUGGAUUUAAUGUUUGUCUGUAUGCAACGAUGAAGCUGAAUGAGAUCUUAAAGUAAAAUAAUCUAUUCUUCACAAAUUUCUUUUCACCACUUCUUAAAAUGAAAACAAUACAAGGAAUGACUGGCUUGCAAAAAUAUUGCUUUUUCUCAAAUUGAACCCCCGUUGCUUCAGUCUGGUCCGAGUUGAGUCCUCAUUAUUGUUAAUAGGGUGCCGGCAUUACUCCAAACUGUUCACUGUAUAAACCUGGACUGGUGGUGCUGUGGGAGAGUUUUGGAUUUGUAUAAAGCACAUUAAUUUCUUUAACGUGAGACUCUUUCUGUAGGAGUGUAUGGAAAUUUCAAUAAUGAAGUAACAGUGCUGUGUGUUCUGCCGUUGAGGAAUUACAGUAUGUCCAGUUAACCUAAAAACACCCUCAAUCAACCGACUAUUAAUCAGAAUUUUAACAAACCAACAUCUUGGUUCAAGUUACUGAGUCACUGUAGUCGCCAUGACUGACAGAGUCAACGGUCUAAAUAGACUAAUUAGCAACCCUCUUACAUUUCUGGGUGCACCCUAAACAGACGACUACUUCAGUCUGAGCUCGUCCUCAUCCCCCCUUCAGUGCAGUGCCCUUACUUACUUUAGUGAAAAAUCAACAUUACACUUGAGGCAUCUCACUUUAGACAUCCUGCCUCUAACUGCAGCUGAACAAGAUGGUGUGUGAUCGGGUAUCCAUGCAAACAAACAUGCCGGCCCCUUACUGAGGACAUUAUCAGGGCCUUGGAUUAAAAUGUUAACAACAAGAAUAAUAAUAAAAAGCCUCAUCAGUAUAUGAGCCCAAGUCCUCCUAGCAAUCAUUGGAGCACCGGUCAAACUAAAUCACCAGUCCUGGCAAUCAGGACUUUAGCCAGGCUGGAGUACAAUUGAUGCCUGCAAAGUUUCUCACUGAUGUUUUUGAUGUUUGACUUCCUGUUUCAUCUGUGUAAUCCAAGUGCACGAGAAAUGGGGAAAAACUGGACACGGAUGAUUUUUCAGAAUGCAGGCUAUAACUACUUUGGCACAUUUUAAUGAAGUUGAAUCUACAAUCUAACAUUUUUAACCUUUUUAUUGGAUUUUUGCAGUCCUUGUCGGGGAAGCAGUGAUUUAUUCUGUUGUCCUUUCAGCGUACUACUAAGAUUCUAAUGCAGUCUGUCCAUGUCUCCAACUUCAGGGACUCUCUUGACACAAACACGUGUGGAAAUUCUUGUGCCUGUCCUUGACAUGAAGGUUUAAAACCACAAAUUGAUGUCUCUGUUUUUCUAUGGAUCGAUGGAAAGUUCAGAUGUGGUAUAGAGCUACCUACGAGGGCUGGCUUUCAGCCCAGGUUCACUGGGCUUCUGGUGCUUCCCUUCGAAGUCCACCCAGCAGGCAAGUGGGGUUUCAGCUGAGAUCAAAAGACCGCAUAGAAUGCCAGUGGAAGUUCAAACCUGCUCUUUUACUUUCUAUCCUUUGCAACAUUUGGAGCAGAUGUCAGUGUGGAGAUUAAAUACAUCUGCUGUUCACCUUGGCCAAUCUGAAUGCAAAGGACACAGAAACUGAUAAACACUUUUGGUUGGUGUAUUUUCUUUGCAAAUGUAAUACUCCACUCUGUAUUUUUUUCACAUUCGAUUUCGGAUAUUAUAUAAACUGUUUAGAAAGAACUUUGGCAUCCUCAUUAUUUGGAUAAUUUCAUAAGCAAUAAAGUUUGUUUGACCACUAAGCCAAUGGCUCAGAAGGAGGACUUUAAAUCAUCUCUUGGUUUUGGCAAACAGCGCUCUCUUAUCCACACAAUGCAUAAACAAGUUGUCACUCAAGUCAGCAGUCAUUGCUAAUUAGAUUGGAGCUGGCCUAAUAUAAUGUGUGGGACGCUUUAUGGCCAGUUACAUUCAAAAUCUCAUCAGAGCCCUCCGAGGUGUCAAACCUUGAGAGAAACACUUUGAAACUGUCAGUGCUUAAAGAUGGCUGUACUCUUACAGAUUGAUGGAGCAAGAUCUUGGAUCUGAGAGGAUUACUGCACACUGAGAGGAUGACAAUCAACUGGAAUAAGAUGAGGCCGGGUUACAAAAGCUCUCUUUGUGUCAGAUCUCUCAAAGGAGUCAUACUGAGCUACUGUGUAUCUAUGUGGAGUUUCAAGCAAGUGGAAAGAUAAAAGUCAGCCUCGGAAUUUUGCAGGAUUUGCCAGGCAAAGAUGAACCGGAUAAUUGCUAUGGAAACCAAGACUGAAUUUUAAAAGAAAAACCUCUUUAUGCUUUCUAGUACAGAAACGCACCGCCCUACUUGUUUGAACUUCUUACUCCUCCACUUGUACCUGCAGGUCAUUCAACAAGCUGCUUGUCCACCCACCAGGGAUGAAGCUAAAGUGAAGAAUCAAGCCUUUUCUCUGGGACUGAGAUCCAGCCGUGGCUCAUUCUGCUGGACCAGCUUGUGACAUCUAAGGUGUGCAAAUGCCUCCAAACAAAAACCUAUUUUUUGACGUAUAGUACAUUUCCUUUUUUAUGCAUGUUAGACUUUUGGAAUUGUACUCUCUCUGUUAAAUGCCUGUUAGACAUAAACUGCUGACAGUAUUUGUUUUCUCUUCUAUAUCGCACCAUGUUGAGCCCGAUGAAGAAUUAUUGGAUGUAGAAUCCUGUCAAGCAAUUCGGUGAAAGUGGCAUCUGCUAUGUUCAAUUUUCAACAGGUAUCACCGAAGUUGAAAAGCCUCAUUUAAACCAACACCUUCUUUAUUUAUUUUUGGCAGAAAGGGAAGUCAGGUCAAGGUGUUCCAUUAAAUGGUAGCAAUUUAGAAAAGUGGAUUGAACCUGGCUUUCUGAUGGCCCAUGUGGCAGCAGAGAGCUACAGGGAAAAGUGCUUCAGACUGAGGUAGGGUCACCUUUGCUUCCACCUCGAUGUAAGGAAUGAAAGCUGCAAGAAAAAAAAAAAAGAAGAAGAAAAAUCUCACAAGGAAGUCGCUUGAUGGUUUAG